RNAcentral lists this long non-coding RNA (58589 nucleotides) under Lactuca sativa (garden lettuce). RNAcentral describes it as "long non-coding RNA (LSAT_LNC004911)". Lineage: Eukaryota; Viridiplantae; Streptophyta; Magnoliopsida; Asterales; Asteraceae. The record is from RNAcentral.
UGUAUAAGAGUAAAGUCAGUCUUACCGCUAGUACGCCUCAUUCACGAAGCCGGUCUAUAAGGUGGGUAUAAGGUUGUUGCCUAUAAAAUGGCAACUUAAUGGGUGUCCACUCUCACCCACCGCUUGCUUGACUGGUGGAGGGUCGUUAGCCGAACGGGUAAGACAAGGACUUAUAAAUUCUCAUUAAAAGUAUGAUGAAUAUUAUAAAGUAACUAAAUGUUUUAUUAAAUUCCCAAUCUUAGUUACCUUAGGAAAAAUGUGAAUAAGGUGCUAAUCCAUGAAAUUACACUUUACACUUUGUCUAAGUCGUUAGUGGAGCGUGUGUGGUUAACCGGCACACUAACUUGGACUUAACAAGGUAGGUAAAGGGUGACUUAAUAUUUAUCAUAGUAUCGAUGGAGCGUGUGUGGUUAACCGGCACAUCGAUUGAGGGGUAAUUUAUUAAGGGUACCAAGUGAUUUGCAUGGUUACUUCACACCUCGUUUUGUGAUCCUCGGCAUCCCAGUCACAAAACUUGGAGGGCACACUCGAGAUUGAAACAUGCCUUUGAAAAGUUCAUUGAAUCUCAAAAGAAUCUAGGAGUUUCUAAGAACCAAAUUUAAUAUUUUAAUAUUUCGACUUUGGUGGAAAUUGGUGAAUCGUCAUUCACCUACCUUUCAAAUAUGUUAUUACUUAGAUUAUGGCAUACCUCUUCUAAAUAUAAUAUAUUGUGAUUGGAUCCUAGCCUUAAUACUACAUUUGGGUGUUUUAUUAAGGACUAUGUCAAUAUAUAAACUAAAACCUUCUUUUUUCUUUUCAGAUGUCUGCAAACACUACUGCUUAUGGCUCUAAUCCCAAUGGCUCCUUUACCCUUAUGAACUUAUGUGGGAAAGUCACUUUUGAUGGAUCCAACUUUAAUGAAUGGAUCAGAAACAUCAGAAUGAUUACUCGCUACGAGGACAAGGAAUAUGUCCUCGAUAAGGAGCUUAAGGAGAUUGAUGAGUCAGUUUCUACUCCUCAAGAGAUCGCUGAGUUUAGGGCACAUGAAAGGGAUGCCACCAAAGUGGCAUGCAUCAUGAUGGCCACAAUGACCGCGGAUCUCCAAAAAUCCUAUGAAGAUUUCUACCCCUAUGAGAUGCACCAAGACUUGAUGGAAAGAUACCAUCAAAGUGCUCGUCAAGAGAGGUAUGAAAUCAUCUCCUCCAUGAUAACAACUUGCAUGAAGGAUGGUGAAUCCAUCACGGGCCACAUGCAGAAAAUGAAAAGAUUAGUGGACCGUUUGCUGAAGCUUAAUGUGAACUUCCCCGAGGAGCUUGCAAUAGAUAUCAUUUUGCACUCCUUACCUUCAUGUUAUGAUCAAUUCCGCAUGACAUACCACAUGAACAAGGAAGAGGUCACCCUCAACAAAAUUCAAGGACUCUUAAAGACCGCGGAAAAUGGUCUUAAGGGUAAGGCGGUUGUUACUACUUCUACUCCUGCAAACUCCGCCCCUAUCUUGGCAAUCGGGAAAGGACGAGGGAAGAAAAGAAAGAGUUCUUCGAAGGGUACCAAGGUUAGGACCCUUGAUGGCUCUUCUUCAAGUGGAACCAAGAAAGGUUUCAUCACUCCUUCUUCUGACCCAAAAGAGGCUGAAUGCUUCUAUUGCCAUGAAAAGGCACAUUGGAAGCGGAACUGCCCAAAGUACCAGCAAGAUGUGAAGGAUGGGAAAGUUAAACCCAACCAUGCAGGUAUUUACACUAUCAUUUCUAAUAACUCACCCCAUUCUAAUUCUUGGGUCCUUGAUACCGGUUGUGGUAUUCAUAUUUGUUGUGACUUGCAGGGACUAAGAAGAAGUGAGAAUGUGGAGCAAGGAAGAAUAAACUUAAUCAUGGGGAAUAGGAAAGUUACACCUGUCACCAAGAUUGGAGUUUAUACUUUGUCGCUAAGUAGUGGGUUUAGUUUAGAUUUGAAUAAAUGUUGUUAUUCGCCAGAAAUGGCAAGAAAUAUUAUUUCCUUUCAUGCAUUGUAUAAACAAGGUUUUACCUUUUCAUUUAAUAAUGAAUUUGGUUCUAUUGAUGCUUUCUUUAAUAAUGUUCUUUAUUUUAAAGCAUUACCUUGUGAUGGCCUGUAUGAAACAGUAUCUGUGGUUGAUAACUUAGGAAAUAAUGUGAUGUGUAUUGAUUCUAUUAAUAACUUGGAUAAAGCAUCAUUAUGGCAUUGUCGACUUGGACAUAUAAGCAAGAAGCGCAUAGGCCAACUCCAAAAGGAUGGAGUCUUGGAAUCAUUUGACCUAAAGUCAGAUGAUAGUUGCGAAUCGUGCUUACUUGGAAAAAUGACAAAGUCACCCUUCACAGGUUCUUGUGAGAGGGGUGAAGGUUUGUUGGACCUAGUACACACGGAUGUGUGUGGACCAUUCAAACAUGCCACAAGGGAUGCUAAUCGUUAUUAUUUGACUUUUACUGAUGAUUACAGUAGAUAUGGAUAUGUCUACUUAAUCAAGCAUAAGUCAGAGACUUUCGAGAGGUUUAAGGAAUUUAAACAGGAAGUCGAGAAUCAAUUGGGCAGGAACAUUAAGAUGCUUCGAUCCGAUCGUGGUGGUGAGUAUCUUAGUUCAGAGUUCCUCGACUAUCUAAGGGAAUGUGGGAUAGUCUCACAAUUGACACCUCCCAGGACACCACAGUUGAAUGGUGUGGCUGAGAGGCGUAAUCGAACCUUGUUGGAUAUGGUUCGUUCCAUGAUGAGUCGAGCUUCGCUACCAAUCUCAUUUUGGGGGUAUGCCUUAGAGACUGCCGCCCAUAUCCUUAAUCUAGUCCCUACAAAGAAAGUUGCCAAAACUCCUCACGAGAUGUGGACUGGUAAAGUACCCAAACUAGACCACAUCAAGAUUUGGGGUUGCGAAGCUUUCGUGAGACGCGAGACUCAUGAUAAGCUCGAACCUCGAAGCGAGAGGUGUAUUUUCAUCGGCUACCCACAGCGAUCCUUUGGUUACCUCUUCUACAGACCUAGUGACAAUGUGGUCUUUGUAGCAAGAAGAGGAGUCUUUCGAGAAAGAGAGUUUAUAAGCCAAGGAGACAGUGGGAGGCAAAUUGAUCUUGAAGAAAUUCAAGAAUCAAGCGGUGAAGGAACUUCAAACUCUAGCCCUCAACUUGAGGAGGAAACUCCUGUUGAGCCAAUUGACAAAUCUGUACCUCUGAGACGUUCCACGAGAGUUAGGAGUGCACCUGAGCAUUACUAUGGAUUCCAUAUUACUGCAGAAGGUGAGACACUUAUUAGUGAUGAGACACUAGUAAGUCAAGAUGACCCUAACAGCUACGAGGAAGCCAUGGCAGGCCCCGAGUCUGCUAAAUGGAAAGAGGCUAUGGAUAGCGAGAUACAAUCCAUGUAUGACAAUCAAGUUUGGAACUUGGUUGAAAAUGUACCAGGUCGUAAGACAGUAGGGUGCAAAUGGGUCUUCAAGAAGAAGACCGACAUGGAUGGUAAAGUACACACUUAUAAGGCUAGACUGGUUGCAAAGGGCUUCUCUCAAAUUCCUGGAGUGGAUUAUGAUGAGACCUUUUCUCCGGUAGCCAAGAUUAAGUCUAUUCGGGUUCUGUUAGCCAUAGCUGCAUUUCAUGANNNNNNNNNNNNNNNNNNNNNNNNNNNNNNNNNNNNNNNNNNNNNNNNNNNNNNNNNNNNNNNNNNNNNNNNNNNNNNNNNNNNNNNNNNNNNNNNNNNNNNNNNNNNNNNNNNNNNNNNNNNNNNNNNNNNNNNNNNNNNNNNNNNNNNNNNNNNNNNNNNNNNNNNNNNNNNNNNNNNNNNNNNNNNNNNNNGCUCUCCCUCGAGCUCUCGGCGUCUCGGCCUUCACAGGCCGACUCUCUGUAACUCUGGUGGCGGCAGGAGCAGACCCCUGAGAUGCUCCGCGCAACUGCGGACACUCGGCCUUCCGGUGUCCGGUCUGGUUGCAGUGAAAGCACACUGCAAACCCCUUGGGGCAGUCCUUGGCCAUGUGCCCCUCCUUACCACAUUUGUAGCAAGACCCUGCUCGGCAGACUCCGUCAUGACCCUUGCCGCACUUUCCGCAAGUGCGGCCCUUCUGGCUCCCUGGUCUGGGAUCAGCAGGCUUGGCCCGCUUGGCGGCCGGCUGCGACAACGCCGGUCGCCGAUCCCUCCCCUGAGACUCUGCCUCCUCCCUGGCCUGGGUCUCAAGCUCAAUCUCCCUCUUCCGGGCAUUUGCCUGAAGCUCGGCAAAUGUCCGGUACGAGGAGUUCGCAGCGAACUCCCGAAUAUCCCUCCUCAAGAUGCUCAAGUAGCGGCUCAUACGUGCCUGCUCAGUGGACACGUGCUCAGGGCAGAACAUCGCCCUCUCGUGGAACAUCCUCGUGAUCGCUGUAACAGACUCAGUACCCUGCUUGAGGGUCAGAAACUCCUGUGCUAAACGCUCCCUCUCCACCUGGGGAACGUACUCAUCCCGAAACAUAGUGGUGAACCUCUCCCAGGUCACCGCAGAAAGCUCAGCAGGCGAAUAAUGCGCUGUCACAAACUUCCACCAGUCCUUCGCUCCCAAGCGAAGCUGGUUCAGCGCGAACCGUACCUUCAAAUGCUCAGGAGACGAGCAAGUGAAGAAACACCCCUCAAUAUCAGAUAUCCACCUCAUAGCUGCCACCGGAUCCUGAGUACCAUCAAACUCUGGUGGUUUUGUGUUGCUGAACUCACGGAACAGCAACGCAUCCCCACCCUGCGGCCUCGCAGCAGCAAUCGCUGCGGUAGCCGCUGCAGCAGCAGCCUCAGAAAGAGCGGCAUAACGCUCAUCAAACGUCUCAAUCAAUGUGGUCUUUAUAGACCCAAACAUCUCCGGUAUCUCUGCCCUGAUGGCCGCAGCCACCUCCUCCUGAAUGAUCCGGCGGAUCUCCUCCUCACUGGUACCACUGCUCUCGGGCAUCAAACGUGUCCUCACCAUGAUCUACCUCUGAAAUACAACAUACGAUAAAUUAGAAUCCACACGAGUAUGCUCACACUCGUCAACUCUUUCCUCCUUGAUUCUUGGCAUUCCAAAGAUUCUUACUUGGGCUGCACACCGCUCCGGUGCUUCCAGUAGUACGGGCCCAAUACUACUGUCCGCACCGCACCAGAAUACACUCCAAGUCCUCCUCUUCGGAUUCCAGGUCUCAAGUACUCUAUCAUGCGUAGACCACUCUCUAAUAGAUCUCUCAUAAGUCCCUCGCUGCUACCUACUCACUCUCAAGCAUCUCAUAGCAGCUCACCUCUCCCUAGGCUAAGGCAUCACAAAUCAGGCCACUCUAGUCCUAAUAGCAAUACCUAGCCUACUCUAGCAUGCGAAUACAUCAUAUCAAUGUCAAUAUCACAUAAUAUAUAAAGGUAUUUUGGGAAAUCACCGUUCGGGCGCUGACUGAUCGUACACACAUCUCUUGCUCUGCGUUUUUCAAAAAUCUUUUACUCUUUUUGAAAAUACAUCUCAAAUCCUCAGUUUGAGUUCAAAUACGCCCGAAGGUGUACUCGAAUCCCUCAAACCAAGGCUCUGAUACCAACUUGUAACACCGUGAAUUUCAAAAUAAUUUUUCGCAAUAUAAAAAAAAACAUUUCUCAUUUAAUUUCAUAAAAACAUUAAGUUUCAAAUUCCAAUAUGUAUCAUACAAAUCCCAAGAUCACAUAAAUAUAUCAAAAGUCCCCUGCAUGUGUACAGAUCAAGUCGGCGCCUUCCCACGGUCAUCGCUAGUACCUGAAACAACAACACUAACACUGUAAGCACGAAGCUUAGUGAGUUCCCCAAAAUACCACACAUAGAACGCAUAUUAGCCACUCGAGGCUAUAACUCUAUGGGUCCGUGCACCCAACUCUGUGAACCCUCAGGUUCUAACUCUAGGAACCUUCCGGUUCCAACUCUGUAAUCAUGCACAACAUCAAUCACAUAGAAAUAAUGCAGUACAACACAUAGCAUACACAUAACAUUGGUGCUAGGCUCUAAAACUCCAAGGAAUCAACUACAACUACAAGGUAAGUGUUUCUACUAGCUCUAUUUGAUUCAAGUUCUCCAUGCCAUGCUAGUUAGGAUAUGAACCUUGGAAAAAUAAUUAUUUGCAUGUAUCUUAGACAAACAUAGAUCCAAGAUUUAUUAGGGUUGCAUGUACACUUAGGAAGUGUUAGAAUGCUCAAAACCCAUCACUUCGGGGUAUCCUUCCCAAUAGACUACAUUCUGAUUCCCAUGGGGGAUGUAUGUGUGAUUGUGGGUAUGGACUGGUUGAGUCGCAUCAGUUCCAUGAUCGACUGCGAGGGUCAGUAGGUGGUAGUUCGAACCCCAGGUGGGGGAGAACUGGUUAUCUUCGGUAAGGGCACCAGGCUAGGAUCAGGGUUUUGCUUGGCUGCCAGGACUCGACAGUCUAUUCAGCACGAGUGUGUGGGUUACUUAGCGUAUGUGGUGGAUAUGCGGGUUAAGGAUUAGGUUUCGGUUUCAUAUGUUCUGGUUGUCAGGGAGUUCGCUGAUGUGUUUCCGGAGGAGUUAUCUAGAGUGCGUCCAAAGAGGCAGGUCGAGUUCAGGAUCGACCUAGUGCCAGGUACGGUCCCUGUCGCCAAGGCGUUGUACCGAUUGGCACCACUAGAGAUGCAGGAGCUGUUAUCACAGCUGCAGAAACUGUUGGGCAAGUAGUUCAUUCAUCCGAGUAGUUCCCCGUGGGGAGCACCGAUUCUCUUCUUGAUAAAGAAGGAUGGUUCACACCGGAUGUGCAUUGACUACCAGGAAUUGAAUAAGUCGAUGGUGAAGAACUGUUAUCCACUACCACAGAUCGAUGAUCUCUUUGAUCAGCUGCAUGGAGCAUCUUGGUUCUCCAAUAUAGAUUUGAGGUCCGGGUACCAUCAGGUCAGGGUACGACAGGAGGACAUGGUGAAGACCGCGUUCCAGACUCGUUAUGGACACUACGAGUUCGUGGUAAUGCCGUUUGGGCUCACCAACGCGCCAACUAUAUUUAUGGACCUAAUGAAUCGGGUAUGUUGACCGAUUCUCGAUCGCUCAUUCAUUGUGUUUAUAGAUGACAUCAUAGUGUAUUCCAAGACCAGAGAGCAGCACGAGGAGCAUCUUCGGGAGUUACUGGGGGUCUUGAGAUGAGAAUGGAUUUAUGCCAUGAGGAACUGGGCAUGCGACUGCAUUUCAGUACCACAUACCAUCCGUAGACAGACGGCCAGAGCGAGCGGACCAUUCAAACCCUCGAGGAUAUGUUGAGGGCCUGUGUUAUUGACUUCGGUGGGAUUUGGGAAUCCUACCUACCCUUGCAAAAUUCUCCUAUAACAACAACUAUCACUCCAGCAUUAGUGCUCCACCUUAUGAGCUGUUGUACGGACGGAGAUGUCGUACCCCGGUCUGUUGGGGGUGAGGUUCGCCACAGAGUAAUGGAACGGACAGAGGUAGUUUCGCAGACUACCGAUAGGAUUCAACAGAUCAGGUAGCGACUGCAGACUGCUCAGAGUCGGCAUAAGAGUUACGCCGAUCGAUGCCGAUCUGAAUUGGAGUUUCAGGUUGGUGACAUGGUGCUACUGAUGUAACACCGUGAAUUUCAAAAUAAUUUUUCGCAAUAUAAAAAAAACAUUUCUCAUUUAAUUUCAUAAAAACAUUAAGUUUCAAAUUCCAAUAUGUAUCAUACAAAUCCCAAGAUCACAUAAGUAUAUCAAAAGUCCCCUGCGUGUGUACAGAUCAAGCCGGCGCCUUCCCACGGUCAUCGCUAGUACCUGAAACAACAACACUAACACUGUAAGCACGAAGCUUAGUGAGUUCCCCAAAAUACCACACAUAGAACGCAUAUUAGCCACUCGAGGCUAUAACUCUAUGGGUCCGUGCACCCAACUCUGUGAACCCUCAGGUUCUAACUCUAGGAACCUUCCGAUUCCAACUCUGUAAUCAUGCACAACAUCAAUCACAUAGAAAUAAUGCAGUACAACACAUAGCAUACACAUAACAUACAUACAGUAACACAUAGCUCUGAUUACCUACUCAAGGUAAAGUAUAGUGAGAAGACUCACCUCGCGUAUCUCGGUAUCUCACGAAUCCUGGAAAUCCCUCGUGCUCGAUCCUCCGAGCUCUAAUCCUCCUAUAACAUCACAUGACUCUAAUUAACACUUUUUAUCUCUAAGGUUGACUAUCUCUAAUUAACACUUUUUAUCUCUAAGGUUGACUAUCCCUAAGAAGUCAACACAGGUCAACGGUCAACGGUCAACUUUGACCGGACUCGGCGAGUGCACACGGCAACUCGGCGAGUCUAGACGUUCUCACCAACUCUCUAGGAUUCCCUUUCUACACGUCGAGUACUCCCCCUGACUCGACGAGUUUCACCUGGCAGAAAUCGCGGGGCCACCCCGACUCAACUCGCCGAGUCUCAAGAACGACUCGGCGAGUCCCAGCUCGACUCAGUCCACUUGACAACCCUCUCUAACUCGCCCUGACUCACUGAGUCAACCCAUGACUCGACUGGACCACUCACUGGCCGGUCCAAGGCAAUCUUCAAGCUACUCGCCGAGUCUGCUCAUCGGACUCGGCGAGUCCAUGCCAUGCAAUCACUCAAACUUGCUUCUAAGGUCAGAUCUAUUCCAUCAAUUCAUAGAUCUGACCUUCCUAGACUGAUUCACCACGUAAAGCCCCAGACUUGGUGCAUAAACAACCUCUAUAUGACCAUAUAUGAAGAAUUAUCAACAAUUAUCACUACUCAAGGUCAUAACCUCCAUUGUUCUCUAUAAAGCUUGAUGAAUGAGGCUCUCUGGGCCUCUAUGGAUCCAGAUCCAAAGUCUCAUCACUAGCAAGGGACUAUUUGGCCAUCCAAUCAACUCAACAAGGUCACAAGAAACCCUAAAAUCAAUUAUAAUUCACAAAACAGGAGAUGGGCCGAAAUCAUACCUUUAGAUUGAACGGCUAAGCUUCAAAUCCACAUAAUAGCAAUCUCCUUUGUCUCCUCUUGGCUAGAACCUCCCUCUUCUUUACUAAACUACACACAAAUGUCAAGAAAUGCUUCCUUUCUCUCUCAAAUCGCUAAGGCACUCUAGGGUUUCUCUCUAUGGACUGUUGGGUGCAAAUGACGGCCAUAAGGCCCUUUAAAUAGGUCCCAAACCCGAGAAAUUAGGGUUUCAUUAAACAGCGUGGACUCGACGAGUCCAUAUCCUGGACUCGCCGAGUCCAUAUCCUGGACUCGCCGAGUCCAGACGAAUCCCGGGUCCAGAAUCGCGACCCUACUCAGCGAGUCUGAGCUCCAACUCGCCGAUUCCCCUCUCAAAACACCAAAAAUCAAAACAAUAAAGAUACCUGGAAAUCCGGGCUAUUACAACUAAAGGUCUCACGCUGGAAGGGUGUGAUUCUCUUUAGGAAGAGGGGGAGGUUGGUUCCCUGAUACAUUGGGCCAUUCAGGGUUAUUGUCAUGGUUUGCAAGGUGACGUAUAGACUGGAUCUCCCAGUGAAGCUUAGUCAGAUCCACAACACUUUUCAUGUCUCGCAAUUGCGGAAGGGCAUACUGGAUGAGGAGGAAGUGGUGUCAUUAGAUGAUAUUCAGGUCGAUGAGCGCAUGAAUUACGUGGAGAAGCCAUUGGCCAUUCUGGAGAGAAAGGUGACGGUUCUAUGGAACAAGGAGGUACCUUUGGUGAAGGUACAAUGGGAGCACUAUAGAGGAUCUGAGUGGACAUAGGAGCUGGAGGCAGAGAUGCGGGAGAAACAUCCGGAGUUGUUCACCACAACAGCCUUCCAGGAUGAAGUCUAGUUCAAGUGGGGGAGAAUUGUAACACCCCAAAUCCAAGGUAUAAAUUUUAAAAGUUUUAUAUUCAUUAUUGGAGACCUACUCGACGAGUUGGUUGCCACAAAUCGUCGUGUAGAGACGUAUAUGUUGGAUUAAUGUCUAAGUCCACAACUAUAUUUGGAAUGUACUUGACUUGACUCGGCGUGGUCCAUUUGGGUUGCACUUCACCAACACAAUUUAUAUGGAUAGUCUUUUGAGAAUAGUAUAUUUAUGAUUUAUAUUAAUAUAUUCUAAGUUCUAAUAUAUUAAUAUGGAAUCAUAUUAUUUAAUUAGUAUUGAUCAAGAAUUAAUUUAGAAUUAAUUAAGUGAUCAAAAUGAACUAAUUAAAUAUGGACUCUUAUAUAUAUGGAAUGGGCCAAGUUCAUUUAGGUUGGGCUAAGCUUUCAUGGAUAGUCCAUGGAGUGUUUAACUCAUGGAUCAUAUGAAAUGAAAGGUCAUGGGUAUUAGGGUUUAACCCUAAUCCUCCAUACUAUAUAAAGAUGUCUUUGGUUGGUGAAAUUGGCACUAGUGUGGAUACACUAAAGAAGGGCUAGCCAAUUUCACUAGAGAGAACCAAGUAAUCAUAUUCUCUAAAGUAUUCCAAGGUGUCUUGGUGAUUUGUGAUUCCACUUGAGGCUUCCACACUAUUGGGGCUAAGCUCUUAAAGCUUGAAGACAUCAAGCUACAUCAAGAGGUAUGUAUUCUAUCUUGUUACAUUCAUAGUUUUUGUAUGCUAGAUUAGGAUAAUACCUUGGAUGUUCUUAUUUGCAUGUAUAAUAGAGAAAACAUAGAUCCAAGGUAUUUAGGGUUGCAUGUACACUUAGGAAGUGUUAGAAUGCUCAAAACCCAACAGUGGUAUCAGAGCCACGGGUUGUUUUCUGUUAUAUUGAUGCAAAUAUUUUAUUUUCAAAGUUGAAAAAAAAAGAAAAAAAAAAAUUGAAGUUCGUCAAAUUUUAAGAUAAUUACUUGUUCUUGUGAAAAACUAAUUAUUUGUAAAAUUUGAAUAAUUUGCUUUAUGAGUUGAAUUAGGUCAAAUUUAAUAAAAGAUAAAAUAAUAUGAUUAUUUUAUUAGUUUUAAAAGUUUGAUCUAAAGAGUUUUAUUUUUUGAAACCUCCAUAAGUUAUGGAUAUGAAAAGGUUUUAAAAAAAAAAUUGAUUCAAAGUUUUUUUGGAGUUACAAAAUUUGGUGUUAAUGUUUUAAAGGAUUCCAUAACUUAAGAAUAAGUUAUGGAUCACCAAAAGUUUUUUGUGUUACCUUGUUUUAUGAGUGAAUUUAGAUUAAUGAAUAAAAUUAUGUGAUAGUUGGUUUUAAUCCAAAUUAAUCUAAGAAUUGAUUCUAAAAUGUGUUUUUGUAACUUGUCCUCAAGUUAUAUGAAAAGUCACAUUUAAGAAUCAUAAAACUCAUAAAAAUUGGCAAAGGUUACAAAAAUGAAGAGUCUAGUUCUAAUUAAAUGGUUUUAUGACUCCAUAACUUGUCCUCAAGUUAUGGAGGACCAAGAGUCUCUUCAUUUAAUAAAAUAAAAUAAAAUAAAAAAAGGUGUAACCUUAAUUAAUUCCAUAAGUUAUAAAAUAAAGAAAAGUUAAUUCUUUUAUUAGUUUAAAGUCUUCCAUAACUUGUCCUCAAGUUAUGGAACUUGAAGAGUUUUUGGAUUAAAACUACUUUAAACACAUAAGUUAUGGAAUUAAUUAGUUUUGAAUAGUUUCAAAACUUGCCCUCAAGUUUUGGAAUUUGUAAAGUUUUCACUUAUGAAUACUUUAAUUCCAAGUUAGCCCUUAGAAUUUUAAAAGUUAAAAUUCAACCCUUAUACUUUAUAAUAUUAUAAGUUAAUAAUAUAUAUAUGUAUAAGAGUAAAGUCAGUCUUACCGCUAGUACGCCUCAUUCACGAAGCCGGUCUAUAAGGUGGGUAUAAGGUUGUUGCCUAUAAAAUGGCAACUUAAUGGGUGUCCACUCUCACCCACCGCUUCCUUGACCGGUGGAGGGUCGUUAGCCGAAUGGGUAAGACAAGGUCUAUAAUUCCCCUUCAUUAAAAGUAUUAAUGAUAAAUACUAAGUAACUAAACCUUUUAUAAAUACCCAAUCUUAGUUACUUAGGAAAAUGUGAAUAAGGUGCUAAUCCAUGAAAUUACACUUUGCACUUUGUUUAAGUCGGUUAGUGGAGCGUGUGUGGUUAACCGGCACACUAACUCGUAUUUAACAAGGUAGGCAAAGGGUAACUUAAUGUUUAUCAUAGUAUCGAUGGAGCGUGUGUGGUUAACCGGCACAUCGAUUGAGGGGUAAACACUUAAGGGUACCAAGUAAUUUGCAUGGUUACUUCACACCUUGUUUUGUGAUCCUCGGCAUCCCAGUCACAAAACCUGAAGGGCACACUCGAGAUUGAAACAUGCCAUUGAAAGUUCAAUGAAUCUCAAAGAUCUAGGAGUUUCAAAUCCAAUUAAAACCUAAUAAAUUAUUUCGUUUUUCAUGGUGGAAAUUGGUGAAUCGUCAUUCACCUACCUUCAAAUAUUCUAUAGCUUGGAUUACGGCAUCCCUCUUCCAAGUUAUAAAAUAGUUUGUUGGGUCCUAGCCUUAAUAUUUCAUAUUGGGUGUUAUAUUAAGGACUUUAAAUCAACUAUCUUGAAUAUCUCCCAAAAGAUGUCUAGUUCAAACAUCUAUGAUCUUCCCAAAUAUCUUGGAACUUCACUUCCUCCACCUCCUCCAAUUAUUCUCCCUAACCAACAAGUUCAAGGUCACUCAAGCCCUAUUGGCAAGGCAAGGUCUAGGUGUGAGCAUAUCUUGGAGAUGAAGUCACAUACUUACAAGCCGGGAGAUUUGGGUGUCAAAGUCUUGAGAAAGUUAGUGGUUCAAUCACUUUCUAAGUCACAUAGUGAGUUCCUUUGGGACUCCUAUGAAAUAGACUAUGACAAGACCCUUAAUGAUCUUAUCUAUUUUCUUGGUGCUGCUAAAUCAGAAAUGAUUUAGUGUACUAGUAAAGCAAAUUUGAUUAGGAGAUCAACUUUUCAAAACUUUAUGGACAGGGACAAUAGUGACACAGGAAAUCCAGAAAUGCAUUCUCUUCCUAAUGGAAAGGGAUUGGCCAUAGUCAACUUGGUUGACCAAAUAGUAAAGAGAAAGGCUAAGUCUGAGAUAGUCCCAUGUACUAUACCUAAGGGUCCAUAUGUUUCUAUUGCCAAAGGAAGCAGCUUUGGUUACGAAGCUGCCAAACUUACCUAAGGAUGGUAAAGUCAAUAAGUUUGUGUUUAUUUUAGGUAAAGUCCAUUGUCGAACUCUGUUAAGUUCCUACUUGGAGAUUCUUAUUACAUGAUGUGGCUGGGUCACAUGUUGAUGUUUUAAGAAUCAAAGAAAACUAAAGAAAUUUAAAGGAAGUAUAUGCUGAUUCUGAUCGCGAAGAUGGACUUCAAUUGCAUGGUUCGUGUGACAACUCGAAGUUUGCUCCAUCGCCAUAAACCGUUUCCGCCCAUAAAGUUCGGCUUUUUCGUUAAAGUUUUAUAUUAAGUCAUUAUUUUUUAGGCUUAUAUUAUGACUUAAUUGGUAUCCAAACACGUUAAUAACUCAAGAAAAUAUUCCAAAUUAUCAAUUAGAAAAAUUUUAGUUUUGACCAUAUCGGGUAACGGCAACUUAAUCGGGUGUGACUAAAAGCCACGUCUAACGUCAAUAUCGGGUAGAAUUCCACCGUGUCCCAAACUUAGGACCUAUUUAAAGCUCAAUAGACUUCAUUUGAAGCUUUUACUCUCUCUCACCACUCUCUCUCUAACCUCUCUCCUCAAACCAAAGAACUAGGUCCAAAACUCCAAUUUAAGGCUUCUUAUCACCAAGGUACCUUCCAUAACUCCUAGUAUAACAUCUUCGGCCUUCAAAUUCGAUUUCAAAUCGUGGAAUAGGACCAUAUUCAUGAGUUUAUAGUCCUAGAACAGCCCUAGGCUGUGAACUCACAUAAAUUGGGUUUUAGAGCCCAAAAACCCUUCCAAUCGACCUUUGGAGCUUAGAUAUGGCUUAAUGGCUUAAUGGAAUAGACUUAGAAUGCCUUAAACAUGGAUUUUGAAGAGUAAACAUGAGUUUACUGCCCAAGAACACGCUUGGGCCGUAAACUCAUAUAAAUGGGGUUUUUAUGCCCUUAAACCCUUCCAAAACUCCAUUGAAGCUUAGAUAUGAAUUGCAGAAUAUUGGAUUAAGCCUUGGAACACCUUGAACAUUAAAUUAGAGGAGCAAACAUGAGUUUACUACCCAAGAUCAUGCUUGGGCCGUAAACUCAUUAUCAUGGGGAGUAAACUCCUUUUAGUGCGUUAAAAUGCCAUUUACACACACCAUAAGCCUUGGGAUAAAUUCUAGAAGUGACCACAAAUAAGAUUUGGACCUUAAAACAUAUUAAAUCCCCCAUCUAAGGAGUUCACGGCCAUGAGGGGGUUCAUGGGCCUUAAACUCCUAAAUCCAUGCCAAACGUCACCCAAAAAUUCAUACAAGGCUUGGAAAAAUCAUUUGGAAUCACAUGUGAUUGAUUAAGGACCCAAGCAUUAAGGAUUUGGUGUGAGGGGGAGUUUACGGCCGUAAACUCCAAUAAAUGGUCUUUAAGUGAGUCUAAAUUCAUUCCAAUGCCUUAGAUUAAAUCCUAGCUAAAUUAUCCUUGAGUUAUGAAGCCAUUUUGCACCCAAAAACACCAUCUAUGAGUUCACGGACGUGAACUCAUAUGGAUGAGGUGUUAAGGGGUCAAAAACUCCUCUAUGAGUUUACUCUUGAAGAGUAAACUCCAUAUCCAAGCCUUAUGUGACUUCAAAUGCCACCCGGGUCCUUCCAAACACUUGUAAUGAGGUGUUUCCGCAACUAGAAGUGUUUAUCCCUAACAAAUAAAUUAAUCAAGUCCUAAUCGGAUACAAAUAUGUAUCUUUUCAUAAUUCAUAGGAACCUCAUGCAUUUGCAAACCCAGGACUGACGUUUAGCAUCCAAACCGACACAUUCCGCGAUUGGUGAGUUCAUACCCCUACGCCUUUUUCCGUUUUUUUCAAUGUUUUCAGGGGUGGGGGGGGGAAUACAAGCAAAAAUAUUAAAUGCUCUCAGAACAUAAAACUGAUAUAUUUCUAUAAGUAUCUGGCUAACCUUUAGAUAUCUUUACCCCUUAUUUAUUAUGCUUAGCAUAAGGGAUGUUUUAUCGAUUAUAACUACAUGGAUUUCAGUAAAGGAAACAAUCAAAUUAAUCAAAUUAUUAUGGGAAUAAUUUGGGAUCUUUAGUUCCUAUUUAACGAGUACAAAUUUAUGUAAAGUUAAUAGAUAAACUAUGUCUGAUUCAGUUUAUCUCCGUUUAAUUUAGAAUAUAUUGCCAGAUAAUUUCAUUGUAUUUAACUAUUUCUACUGUAUUAUUCUUUGAUACGGUUUGUAUGUCUGAUAACGUCUGAGAACCCAGUGAAUAACAUGAUUCUAGCUUGUGAGAUUCAUCAUCAUUAUCAGUAAAUCCUCCCCGGAAGUGUAACUAGAGUCUCCUGGAGGGAGAGCGAGGAAUUUGUGAAUAGAUUUAUUUGGGACUGACAAUCCCACACCUUAACUGCUAGCUACAGUUAGGCGGGCACGCCUGGGGUGACAAAUUUUGGAUAUCGUCCGACGUUUGACAAGCGUCAAGGAGGUCUCGUUGUCAUAUCAGCAUGGUUACCCGACUCACAAUACGUAUUAAUAUAAGUUUAUUCACGGAUUGAAUUUCAUAUCCACUUUCUAUCUAUACUUCCUAUAUCUAGUACGGGAGGAUAGUCCCAUGGUUUUCAAUCUAUAUUUAGUACGGGAGGAUAGUCCCAUGGUUUUGAAUCUAUAUUCAGUACGGGAUGAUAGUCCCAUGGUUUCAAUCCAUAUCUAGUACGGGAGGAUACUCCCAUGGUUUUGAAUCUAUAUUUAGUACGCGAUGAUAGUCCCAUGGUUUUCAAUCUAUAUCUAGUACGAGAGGAUAGUCCCUUGGUUUUCAAUCUAUAUCUAGUACGGGAUGAUAGUCUUAUGAUUUUAAUCUCUAUCUAUCUAUAGUUUUGUGUAUAUCAAACUAUCUUAUAACUGGUACGGGAUAGUAAUCCCAUGAUUUUCAGUAAAUAGUUUUAUGUGUAAAACUAUACAAUGUGGUCUUUAACUAAAGCUUUACUUGUAGGAAAAUGUAGGAUUUUCCUAGGAUAAUAAUUAUUCAGAAUCGUGUAAGAAAACAGAUAACUAAACUUUACAUAUAAGAAAAUAUGGGAUUUUCUUGGAUUCGUAAAUAUUUCGGAAAACGAAAGGAAACUUAAGCAUUUUCAGAAAAACAAACAUCUUAUGAACUCACCAUCUUUAUGUUGAUUUUCAAACUGCUUGUAUUCUUAGGUUCGCGUUAGACAGGUACCCAGCGAUCCUUUUGGAGAAGACGGAGCUCAUUGAAGAUCUCGUCUUAACUUUUGUUCAUAUAUACCAAUGUAUAACACUUGUGAUACUUUACUUUUGAACAAUUGUAAAUUUCAAUAUGUAAUGUAAUGGUUGUUUACUUUGCUUACUAUGUGCAUUGGAUUUGAUACUCAACGUGGAGUCUGCCCCGGAAAUGUUUCCGCCUUUGGUUUUUGGGGUGUGACAGAUUGGUAUCAGAGCCCUUGUUUAUAGUGAUCUAAGUAUACCAGACCUUACAUGGUAUAAAACUAUAAACACUAAACGACCUAAGUGCUCUGGACAAAAAGUAUACUUCAAAGUAUAAGUAUUUUCAAAAGUAUACAAGUAUACCUAACCGUCGAGAUCCGUAACUACAAGUAGAACAAAACAUAAGUAAAUGGGUGUUGUACGCUGUGCUUAAACUUGGGCAGUUAUGUAGUCGUGUCUAGGAUCAAUAUAGCCUGGCCAACUAUAUUCGUUCGAGACACGGCCAACAUGUGCUUGGGAGUGACUGUGGUGUGCGGCAUGCCUAAAACUUACCCAAUACCCAAAAAAAGAACCGUUUUCUCAGUGAAUCAUGAAAUACUAUGGGAGUAUUUAUCGAGCCAAAUUCUUUGUAGAAAUCCUAUUUCCAGCAUUGCUCCUCAAUCAUUCCUUUAGCGAUAAUCUAUCUGCUUUGAUAACUCUUUCAUGCUUUAUCGCUUAAUAGAAUUCUAUAUCUGUCCUAAUGAGAUAUCCCUUGUAUCAUAUCUCUUGAUUCAAUUCGGAGGACUUAUGAACCUCUCUUUCCUGAUCUUUUUAGAUCAAGAUGCCUCCAAGAAAAAGACCCAGUUCAAAGAAUAACAACAGCAACCCUCCGUCACCACCACCUCCUCCUCAAUUUGAUCUUGUAUCACUUCAGGCAGUUAUUACUGUCGCAAUGACAGCUAACAUGUCGCAAAUCAACCCCGGUAGUUCAGGAGGUGGUCCCCACCCACAAAACAGGGAAGUAGCCAGGGACACCAGAAGGCGUGUUCCUACAAAGAUUUUAUGAACGCGAAACCCACAUCCUUCGACGGCACUGGAGGUUUCAUUUCCCUAACUCGAUGGUUCGAGAAAAUCAAAUCUGUUUUCGAGAUUUGUGCUUGCUCUGAAUCAAAUAAAGUGAAGUUUGCCACUUGUACCUUCACCGAUAAAGCCUUGACUUGGUGGAACCGCCGAGUCAAAUCCUUAACUUUACCUGUAGCUAAUGCUAUGGGUAGGGAGGACAUGAAGGAUCUUCUUCUUGCCGAGUACUGCCCAUGGGGCCAGAUGUAAAAGUUAGAACAUGAACUAUGGAAUCUAAAGAUGCAAGGUUCCGACAUAGCCUCUUAUACUUCAAGGUUCGAUGACCUGGCGCUACUCUGCCCGGGAAUGGUUACCCCGGAGAGUAAAAAGAUUGAGAGAUUCAUCUGGGGGUUGACCCAGCCAACCAAGGGAAAUGUCUUGGCCACGAAGCCAGACACCUAUAACAGCGCCAAAUGUCUUGCGCAAAUCCUGAUCGAUCACGAAGAUAACCCCGAUGAGGAGACCACCGCUCCUGGGCUAACUAAGGGUAGUGGAGGAAGUAAAAAGGAAUUCUGGAACAAGCGGAAGGCCCAAAGUACACAGGGAGGGUAUUUUGUUAGAUUUGGGAAUUUAUGGAAAUGGAUCAUCAGUGGUUAUAGGUGUUGGUGUUUGGAGCAUGUUUCAGGAGUUUGAUAUUUCAGUUUCGAUCAACAUUGUGAGGCGAGUUUUCCUCACUUUGCUUAAGGGUCGAAGGCACCUAGGCGGCCCUUUGGAUUGUUAUCUUGCCUUGUUGUUAGUGUGAUCUGUUAGAUAGGUAUCCUGGAAUAUAGGAUGCUCUAUGUGGUUAUGAUUAGUUAGAUCAGUAUCCUCGUAUAUAGGAUGCUGCUAUGCUUAGUGAUAUGUAGAUCGGUUUGUCUGUCUGUAGACUAUUAUGUGAUUAGAUGAUGUAUGUGCACAUGAUUGAUUGAUGGUUGAGGCUUAUCUGCUUUGCACGAGAGCCAAUAGACCAAGGCAUUCCAACUCGAUGGUUGUUGACCAAGAUUAUUCCAUCUCGAGGAUGAUUGUGUUGGAUAAGGUGUCUAAGUCCAUAACUAUUUCUGGUCAGUACUUGACCCGACCCGACAUGGUCCAUUUGGGUUGCAUGGCAUCAUGCAAUUGGAUAGACUAAAUGAGAGAAAUAACACUUGGAGAUUAUUAAUAUAUUAUAAGUUCUAAUAUAUUAAUAAUAUUAUUUGAUUAGUUUGAUCAAGAAUUAAUUUAGAAUUAAUUAAGUGAUCAAAAGAUAACUAAUUAAAUAUAUGGGUUGAUUAUGUAAAUCAUCCAUAUCUUGUAUAGUGGGCUAAGAGGAUCCAUGGAUUAUCAAGUUGGGUUCCACCCAUAGGAUGCUCCAUGGAUGCUCCAUUGGAGUUACAAACCCAUGGGUCAUGGAAAUGAAGAGUCAUGACACAUUAGGGUUUACAUGGUGUAACCCUAGAUGUGUCAACACUAUAUAAGAGUCCCAUUCUCCACAAAAUUGGCUACACAAGUUGAACACUAAGAAACUAGAGGGCUUGGCCGAUUUUGAGAAGUGUGUGUUAUCUCAAGAGUCUUUCCAAGAGCAUUUGGUGUUGUGUGAAGCAUUUGAGGCAUCACACUUGGGGUGCUAGGCUCACAAGGUUUCAAGGAACACAAGCAACAACAAGGUAAGUUAUUCUAUCUAUGAUUCAAGUUAAAAUUGUUCCCCAUGUAUGCUAGAUAGGAAUAUAACCUUGGAAUUCAACUUUGCAUGAUAAUUAGACAAACAUAGAUCCAAGGUUAUUAGGGUUCCGUGUACACUUAAGAAGUGUUAGAAUGCUCAAAACCCAUCAGUGGUAUCAGAGCCUAGGCUUGCUUGUCUGAUUUUUGUGCAAACUACUUGAAAAAUCGAGUUUCCUGUUUUCUGCCCGUAUGAACUCGCUGAGUCCAUGACCAAAUGCAAGCUACUCGCCGAGUCAGUUCAUGCACUCGACGAGUUGAGGCUGCAGUUUUCAGAAUUUUGGUUCUUGUUGCUGGAAAUGGACUAGGAAUAUUACCCUAAACUAUUUUAGUGUUAUAAAACUUGUUUUACUUGGUGUAAUGUUCAUGUUAAUCCAUUUACAACAAGUUAUCAAAAUUACAAGUUUUUAAGUGUAAUUUUUGAUUCAUGAAAGUGUUCAUAUUCAUGUUCUUGAUCUUAUGAUGUUUAGAUGAUCAUAGGAAUUAUUUGUAACCUAUGUGGUAGUUUAAUUCUUGAUCAUUAUGUGUUUUAAUGGAGUCUAUAACUUGUCCUCAAGUUAUGGAAAACCAAAAGUCACUUUGCUUUAAAACAUUAAAAGAACACAUGGGUUAUAGAAUGAAGAGUCUUCAUUUUUAAUACCCUAAUAAACUCAUAAGUUACAAGAAAUGAAAAGUUUUGAAAGUUUACAAAACUUGCCCUCAAGUUUUGGAACAAGUAAAGUCAUGUUAAAACUUUAGUUCCAACCCUUAGAAUUUUAAAAGUUAAAAUUCAACCCUUAUACUUAUAAUAUUAUAAGUUAAUAAUAAUAUAUAUAUGUAUAAGAUCAAAGUCGUCUUACCGCUAGUACGCCUCAUUCACGAAGCUAGUCUAUAAGGUGGGUAUAAGGUUGUUGCCUAUAAAAUGGCAACUUAAUGGGUGUCCACUCUCACCCACCGCUUGCUUGACUGGUGGAGGGUCGUUAGCCGAACGGGUAAGACAAGGACUUAUAAAUUCUCAUUAAAAGUAUGAUGAAUAUUAUAAAGUAACUAAAUGUUUUAUUAAAUUCCCAAUCUUAGUUACUUUAGGAAAAAUGUGAAUAAGGUGCUAAUCCAUGAAAUUACACUUUACACUUUGUUUAAGUCGUUGGUGGAGCGUGUGUGGUUAACCGGCACACUAACUUGGACUUAACAAGGUAGGUAAAGGGUGACUUAAGGUUUAUUAUAGUAUCGGUGGAGCGUGUGUGGUUUACCGGCACAUCGAUUGAGUGAUAAACUUUAAGGGUACCAAGUGAUUUGCAUGGUUACUUCACACCUCGUUUUGUGAUCCUCGGUAUCCCAGUCACAAAACUUGGAGGGCACACUCGAGAUUGAAACAUGCCUUUGAAAAGUUCAUUGAAUCUCAAAGAAUCUAGGAAUUUCUAAGAACCAUUCAAAAACCUAAUACUAAAAUAUUGCGGUUUUCGUGGUGGAAAUUGGUGAAUCGUCAUUCACCUACCUUUCAAAUAUGAUAUAGCUUAGAUUACGGCAUACCUCUUCUAAGUUAUAUUAUAUUGUGAUUGGAUCCUAGCCUUAAUAUUACAUUUGGGUGUUUUAUUAAGGACUCUCUUAUAUCUAAACUAAUCUUGUUCUCUUUUUUUCAGAUGUCUUUCAACAAUGCUUCUGGCUCUAAUCCUAAUGGCUCCUUUACCCUUAUGAACUUGUGUGGGAAAGUCACCUUUGAUGGAUCCAACUUCAAUGAGUGGAUCAGAAACAUCAGGAUGAUUACCCGCUACGAGGACAAAGAAUAUGUCCUUGACAAGGAGCUUAAGGAGAUUGAUGAGUCCACUGCAACUCCUCAGGAGAUCGCUGAAUUUCGGGCACAUGAAAGGGAUGCUACGAAAGUGGCUUGCAUCAUGAUGGCCACGAUGACAGCGGAACUCCAAAAGUCUUAUGAGGAUUUCUACCCUUAUGAAAUGCACCAAGAUUUGAUGGAAAGAUACCAUCAAAGUGCAAGACAAGAGAGGUAUGAAAUCAUCUGCUCCAUGAUAACAACCAUGAUGAAGGACGGGGAAUCCGUCACGAGCCACAUGCAGAAAAUGCAAAGGUAUGUGGAUCGUUUGCUGAAGCUUAAUGUGAACUUCCCGGAGGAUCUUGCAAUAGAUAUUAUUUUGCAUUCCUUACCAUCGUGCUAUGAUCAAUUCCGCAUGACAUAUCACAUGAACAAGGAAGAAGUCACCCUCAGCAAACUUCAGGGACUUCUCAAGACCGCAGAAUCAGGUCUUAAGGGGAAGUCGGUUGCUAUCACUCCUACUCAAAACUCUACUCCGGUUUUGGCAAUCGGGAAAAGUCGAGGGAGGAAGAGAAAGAGCUCUUCUAAGGGUACCAAGGUUCGGACCCUUGAUGGCUCUUCUUCAAGUGGAACCAAGAAAGGUUUCAUUACUCCUUCUUCUGACCCAAAAGAGGCUGAAUGCUUCUAUUGCCAUGAAAAAGCUCAUUGGAAGCGGAACUGCCCAAAAUACCAGCAAGAUGUGAAGGAUGGGAAAGUUAAACCCAACCAUGCAGGUAUUUACACUAUCAUUUCUAAUAACUCACCCCAUUCUAAUUCUUGGGUCCUUGAUACCGGGUGUGGUAUUCACAUUUGUUGUGACUUGCAGGGACUAAGAAGAAGUGAGGAUGUGGAGCAAGGAAGGAUAAACUUGAUCAUGGGGAAUAGGAAAGCUAUACCUGUUACCAAGAUUGGAGUUUAUACUUUAUCGCUAAGUAGUGGGUUUAGUUUAGAUUUGAAUAAGUGUUGUUAUUCGCCAGGAAUGGCAAGAAAUAUUAUUUCCUUUCAUGCUUUGUACAAACAAGGGUUUACCUUUUCAUUUAAUAAUGAAGUUGGUUCUAUAGAUGUUUUCUAUAAUAAUGUCUUUUAUUUUAAAGCAUUACCUUGUGAUGGUGUGUAUGAAGCUGUAUCUGUUGUAGAUAACUUGGGAAAUAAUGUUUUGUGUAUUGAUUCUACUAAUAAUAACUUGGAUAAAGCAUCUUUAUGGCAUUGUCGUCUUGGACAUAUAAGCAAGAAACGCAUAGGCCAACUCCAAAAGGAUGGAGUCUUGGAGUCGUUUGACCUAAAGUCAGAUGAUAGUUGCGAAUCAUGCUUACUUGGAAAAAUGACAAAGUCACCCUUCACAGGUUCGUGUGAGAGGGGUGAAGGUUUGUUGGACCUUAUACACACGGAUGUGUGUGGACCAUUCAAACAUGCCACAAGGGAUGCUAAUCGUUAUUAUUUGACUUUUACUGAUGAUUAUAGUAGAUAUGGAUAUGUCUACUUGAUCAAGCAUAAGUCAGAGACUUUCGAGAGGUUUAAGGAAUUUAAACAGGAAGUCGAGAAUCAAUUGGGCAGGAACAUUAAGAUGCUUCGAUCCGAUCGUGGUGGUGAGUAUCUUAGUUCAGAGUUCCUCGACUAUCUAAGGGAAUGUGGGAUAGUCUCACAAUUGACACCUCCCAGGACACCACAGUUGAAUGGUGUGGCUGAGAGGCGUAAUCGAACCUUGUUAGAUAUGGUUCGUUCCAUGAUGAGUCGAGCUACGCUACCAAUCUCAUUCUGGGGGUAUGCCUUAGAGACUGCCGCCCAUAUUCUUAAUCUAGUCCCUACAAAGAAAGUUGCCAAAACUCCUCACGAGAUGUGGACUGGUAAAGUACCUAAACUAGACCACAUCAAGAUUUGGGGUUGCGAGGCUUUCGUGAGACGCGAGACUCAUGAUAAGCUCGAACCUCGAAGCGAGAGGUGUAUUUUCAUCGGUUACCCACAGCGAUCCUUUGGUUACCUCUUCUACAGACCUAGUGACAAUGUGGUCUUUGUAGCAAGAAGAGGAGUCUUUCGAGAAAGAGAGUUUAUAAGCCAAGGAGACAGUGGGAGGCAAAUUGAUCUUGAAGAAAUUCAAGAAUCAAGCGGUGAAGGAACUUCAAACUCUAGCCCUCAACUUGAGGAGGAAACUCCUGUUGAGCCAAUUGACAAAUCUGUACCUCUGAGACGUUCCACGAGAGUUAGGAGUGCACCUGAGCAUUACUAUGGAUUCCAUAUUACUGCAGAAGGUGAGACACUUAUUAGUGAUGAGACACUAGUAAGUCAAGAUGACCCUAACAGCUACGAGGAAGCCAUGGCAGGCCCCGAGUCUGCUAAAUGGAAAGAGGCUAUGGAUAGCGAGAUACAAUCCAUGUAUGACAAUCAAGUUUGGAACUUGGUUGAAAAUGUACCAGGUCGUAAGACAGUAGGGUGCAAAUGGGUCUUCAAGAAGAAGACCGACAUGGAUGGUAAAGUACACACUUAUAAGGCUAGACUGGUUGCAAAGGGCUUCUCUCAAAUUCCUGGAGUGGAUUAUGAUGAGACCUUUUCUCCGGUAGCCAAGAUUAAGUCUAUUCGGGUUCUGUUAGCCAUAGCUGCAUUUCAUGACUAUGAAAUAUGGCAGAUGGAUGUCAAAACCGCUUUCCUUAAUGGAAAGUUGGCUGAAGAUGUUUACAUGAGUCAGCCAGAGGGUUUUGUCAGCAACGAGUACCCUAAUAGAGUGUGUAAGCUUGAGAAAUCCAUUUAUGGAUUGAAGCAAGCACCUCGCAGAUGGAAUCUUUGCUUUGAUGAAAAGGUCAAGGAAUUUGGCUUUUCUAGGAGUGAAGAUGAAUCUUGUGUGUAUGUCAAGGCUAGUGGGAGUAUAGUUAGCUUUUUGGUAUUGUAUGUGGAUGACAUACUACUCAUAGGAAACGACAUUCCAACCCUGCAGGAAGUAAAGUCCUGGCUUGGGAAGUGUUUCGCUAUGAAGGACCUUGGUGAAGCUGCCUAUAUUCUAGGGAUAAGAAUCUUGAGAGAUCGGAGUAAAAGACUAAUUGGACUUAGUCAGAGUACCUACUUGGAUAAGGUGCUGAAGAGAUUCAGCAUGCAGGAUUCCAAGAAAGGAGAGUUACCCAUCCAGAGUAACACCAGAUUGAGUAAGACACAAAGCCCUAGCACUGAGGCUGAGAUAGCAGAAAUGAGUCGAACACCUUACGCUUCGGCUGUAGGAUCGAUCAUGUAUGCUAUGACGUGUACUCGACCCGAUGUAGCUUUUGCCUUGAGCAUGGUUAGCAGGUAUCAGGCGAACCCUGGCAAGGCACACUGGACUGCGGUAAAGAAUAUCCUCAAGUACCUACGGAGGACUAAGGACUGGGUCCUUACCCUCGGUGGGAGUGAUGACUUGAGAGUUGUAGGGUAUAGUGAUGCUAGCUUCCAGACUGAUAGGGAUAAUUUCCGCUCUCAGUCGGGCUGGGUCUUUACCCUAAACGGAGGAGCAAUUUCUUGGAAGAGUUCCAAGCAAGAGACAGUGGCAGAUUCUACUUGUGAAUCAGAGUAUAUUGCAGCUAGCGAAGCAGCAAAGGAGGCGAUAUGGCUGAAGAACUUCAUUGGAGACCUUGGAGUUGUACCAGCUAUUAAAGAGCCAAUGGAAAUUUUCUGUGAUAGUGAAAGUGCUGUUGCCUUAGCCAAGGAACCAAGGGAUCAUGGGAGAUCCAGACACAUCGACAGAAAAUACCAUUUCAUUAGACAUCGGAUCGAAGAAGGACUCCUCGUGGCAAAGAGGGUAUCAUCGGAUGAGAACCCAGCAGAUCCCCUCACGAAGGGACUGAGUAGGGUUAAGCAUCUCCAGCAUGCUCGGAGCAUAGGGCUGAAGGAUGAUAUAAGUUUUAGUAGUUAGAUAACCCAGAAAUUUGUAAAGUGUAAUUGACAUUUGAUGAUGAAUAAAAGGUGUUUUAUUUAUGAGUAAAGUGUUGCUAUCUCUUGUCAAUCGUUUACUAUAUUUCUUUUGCAUGUUUUGACUUCCAGAAUAAUUUUGUUUGGUGUAACAUAUUAUUCAAACCUCCACAGUCGGUCAUAUGUCGGAAGUAGGUAUGAAUCAAGACUGUCAUGAUGGGUUGUAGAGGUCUAAGGUGUUGGACAAGGCUACAACAAUCAUGAGUGCUCAUAAGUUCUGAGCAUUGGACUCAACCCACGCUCACUGGAAUCACUUCAUGGAAUUCUAUCUCGAGUGAUCGUGAGACGGUAAUAUCAUAUAAGUCUUCAAACCUAGAGAUAUGAUUUGUUACUUACAAGUUGGUUAUGCAUUGACUGUACGAAACCGCAUUGGUAACUCGAUGUUAUAAAACGUACUUUUGUGUGUAAUUCAAUGAGUGGUAGAACAAACAUAUGAGUCGAAGUUUAUCUGUUCCUUCUUGGAUUAGAAGCUGAUAUCUGGGCCCCUCGAUGAUUUUGUUUUGACCCAUGUACCGGGCCCGGUCAGAACUAAGUUGAUGUGUUCAAUUAAGUUCUAUGUCAAACAAAUCGGAAAUCGGGAAACAAAUGCUGGACAAUAAGCAAGACAAUGUUCCAUGUAUUUGUCCGGCUGAUAUCUAGAACGGAGGAUUAUAUGAUCACUUAUCUUAAAUGGCGUACCAUCAUCUUCUCAGUUCCGAGAGACCUUGAAAGAGCUACGAUUGCCGGUCGGUUCCUGAAGUACUAGAGAUAUAGUUAUUAGACUUAUCCAAGUGGGAGACUGUUGGAUAAGGUGUCUAAGUCCAUAACUAUUUCGGGCUUGUACUUGACCCGACCCGGCAUGGUCCAUUUGGGUUGCAUGGCACCAUGCAAUUGGAUAGACUAAAUGAGAGAAAUAACACUUGGAGAUUAUUAAUAUAUUAUAAGUUCUAAUAUAUUAAUAAUAUUAUUUGAUUAGUUGAUCAAAGAAUUAAUUUGGAAUUAAUUAAGUGAUCAAAGGAUAACUAAUUAAAUAUAUGGGUUGAUUAUGUAAAUCAUCCAUAUCUUGUAUAGUGGGCUAAGAGGCUCCAUGGAUUAUCAAGUUGGGUUCUACCCAUAGGAUGCUCCAUGGAUGCUCCAUGGGAGUUACAAACCCAUGGGUCAUGGAAAUGAAGAGUCAUGACACAUUAGGGUUUACAUGGUGUAACCCUAGAUGUGUCAACACUAUAUAAGAAUCAUAUUCUCCACCAAAAUCGGCUACACUAAGAAACUAGAGGGCUUGGCCGAUUUUGAGAAGUGUGUGUUAUCUCAAGAGUCUUUCCAAGAGCAUUUGGUGUUGUGUGAAGCAUUUGAGGCAUCACACUUGGGGUGCUAGGCUCACAAGGUUUCAAGGAACACAAGCAACAACAAGGUAGCUAUUCUAUCUUUCAUUCAAGUUAAAAAUUGUUCCCCAUGUAUGCUAGAUAUGAAUAUAACCUUGGAAUUCAACUUUGCAUGAUAAUUAGACAAACAUAGAUCCAAGGUUAUUAGGGUUGCAUGUACACUUAGGAAGUGUUAGAAUGCUCAAAACCCAUCACCAAAGCCUUCUGAAUUGCCUGCUCCAACGAAUUCACUUUCAAUGUUAGGAAUUCAGGAGUUAAAAUUGUCUAAGGAGUAGGCUUCGAGACAAUGCCCUUUAGUUCAGAUAAUAACUCAAUGAGCUUAGCGAACUGCUCUUUUCAUCUUUGUUCUUGGUUUCAAUAUUUGGCGCAGUUGAUUGAUAGUCUUUAACAAUUUUUGUGACUACGUCAGCCACGAUAUCAACACGGUGUUGCACUAUCGAAUUUUGCGAAGUAAUCUGUUGAAGCUCUUUUGCAAUCUCUUGCUUCAACUCUUCAACUUUCAAGUUCAUGUCCUCCCUUACUUUCUUGACAUCUUGUACAAAAAGAACAUGACGUCCUUUUGUGGCAUUUUUCAGUUCUUGUAAGGCACCUUCAAAGGUUUUCCCUUGAGCUUUAAACCGAAGCUCGUUCUUUUGAUCAUUACCAUCUAUCUUCUCAAGCAGUCUUCUUUCUGCUUCUUUUAUCAUCGCAUCAACCUCCAUACCAGAAAGCGAAUGCUUCGCACCAGAGUCAGCUUGUGACUGAAGGAUGGAAUUUAACUUGCGAUUCAGGAUUUUGAAUUGUUUACCCUACUUAAGCAUGUAGUCAGGUAUCUCCUCCUCCUCUGAAUCGAAAUGAAGUUCUUCAAAUGUUCCUCCGAAACCAUCUCCUUCGGUUUCAUCAUUAGAAUGAGCUUGAGAAGUUAUUGGUUGAGGAUCCUCAGGGGAUACUGUUGCUUAUGCUUAUGAUGCUGAAAUAACUGCUUUCGAUGAUACGGUUGCUUAUUUUAAUGCUGUUAUUGUGUCUGCUAGUACUGAGGCUCAAAAUUUAAAUACACAACUAGCUGAGACAUGAAGACAGUUAGACAUAAAACGAAGCAGGGUAGAUUAUCUUGAACAACAGAUGAAAAAUGUUAGUUGUGAUAGGGAUAGUCUAGAUAGAGAUGUUAGAUUGUUAUUAGCUCAACGAAACAUCUACUAUAAUUCUGCUAAGAGACUAUAUGCAAAGUUAACUGCUUUACAUCAAAAAAAAAAUUUAAUUUUUUUUUUAAUCAAAAUGAAAGACAAAGCAAAAGAAAAUCUUUUUGUUGUUUUUGUAUUUUUCGAAAAGAUUACAAACAAAUGAAAAUAUUUUUGGUUUUUCGUGUCUUCUCAAUGCUUUAAAGAAAAGAAGUAAAAUGAACUUAUGUUACCCAAUAUGCGAAAUCGAAGCAUAGCGAAGCCUCUUAAUGCACAGUAACUUCUGAAUGAUUCCGACUCAGAUCCGCUGAAUGAACGUUUCAUUACUAGACAAACUUCUUUCAUCCUUGAGUGAUAAUAUUUGGCACUGAAUUCGCAUCAAGCAUUCCUAAAACUGUUAAAAUUCUCACAAAUGAUUUUUCAUCAAGAGCUUUAGUAAAAAUAUCAGCAAGUUGUUCAGUGGUCUUAACAAAAUGUACUUCGAUAUUCCCAUCCUCUACAUGAUCUUCGAUAAAGUGAUAUCGAAGAGCAAUGUGUUUUGUCUUUGAGUGUUGUACGAGAUUGUGACAAAUGCGAAUCGCACUUUGAGAAUCACAGUACAAGGGAAUAUUUUUCAUAUUUAUAGCAUAAUCAUGAAGUUGACUUUGUAUCCAAAUAAUUUGAGGAGUACAGGCAGCAGCCGAAAUAUAUUCAGCUUCAGCAGUGGAGAUAGCAACAUAAGUUUGCUUCUUCGAUUUCCAACUCACCAGCUUCCCAUCCAAAAGUUGACAUCCACCACUUGUACUUUUUCAAUCCAAAGUAGACCCCCUAGGUUAGCAUCCGAAAAUUCUGGAAUGAAGAAUCCCGACUUCGAAGGAAGAUUAGAGUCCUAACGAAAUUGUCCCCUUAAGAUAGCGAAAAAUGUUUUUCACUGCAGUUAAGUGGGGAUCUCUGGGAUUUGCUUGGUACCUAGCACAAUUACAAACUGAAAACAUAAUAUCAGGCCUACUUGCAGUUAAGUACAAUAAAGACCCUAUCAUUCUUCGAUAAAGUGUUAGAUCAACAGCAGGAGCAUCUAAUGAAGGAGUUAGUCUUGUUCCCACUGCCAUUGGCACUCUAAGCUUUGUACUGUUCGUCAUUCCAAACUUCACGAGCAGAUUCUUCAUAUAUUUUUCUUGAUUGAUAAAAAUUCCAUCCCUAUUCUGUCUUAUAUUCAAACCAAGAAAAAUAUUUAUUUUUCCCAUCAUGCUCAUUUCGAAUUGACUUUUCAAAAGAUUUUCGAAUUCAGUAGACAAUUUAGGGUCAGUUGAGCCAAAAUUAAUAUCGUCAACAUAGAUUUGAACCAGCAUUAGAUGAUUACCCACUUUCUUUCGAAAUAGUGUGGGAUCAACUGAUCCUUGCUUAAAUUUUGAUUGUUUCAAGAAAUUGGUAAGAGUUGCAUACCAUGCUCUUGGUGCUUGUUUUAACCCAUAACUGCUUUGUCUAGAAUGUAAACAUGAUCAGGAUGUUCCUCCUUUACGAAGCCCGAUGGUUGUUCGACAUAGACUGUUUCUUCUAGCUCUACAUUCAAGAAUGCGCACUUAACGUCCAUUUGAUAAACAUCAAAAUUUUUGUGAACUGCAUAGGCUAAAAAUAUUCGAACUGCCUCGAGUCUUGCGACAGGGGCGAAGGUUUCUUCAUAGUCGAUUCCUUCUUGUUGCAAAUAGCCUUUUACUACAAGCCUAUCCUUGUUUCGAAUAAUAUUGCCAUCUUUGUCGGUUUUAAUUUUGAAAAUCCAUUUUAACCCGACAAUCAGAACAUCAGAAGGUUUAGGAAUAAAUCUCCAAACCUUGUUUCGUUUGAAUUCAGCCAGUUCGGAUUGCAUGGCAACAACCAAAUAUGAGUGUUCCAUUACGUUCUUUGGGAUGACUUUUUGUCCAUUUUUCCAUUGGUGGAUAUGUCGGAUCGAAGUCUAAUGGUGCAUCCUCAUACACCUCUACGUUUUCAGUUCUAGUAACUGAAAUAUUGUCAUCAAAUUCAUGCUCCCCCUCAACUGAAACUUCAAGCUCCCCCUCAACUUGAUUAUUAUCUUGAUGCUCCCCCUAAACAUGUUGAUCUACAUGUCCUUUCUCCCCCUCGAAAGUAUGCCCACCUUGAACACCGAUUUCAUCAGUCGUAUGCUCCCCCUCCAUACGAACUUCAGGCAUGCUUUCGAUACUACUUGAGUCAGAUGUACGAGUAGAGUCAUCAUUGUGUUUUGAGGAUUCUGGUGUAUGAUUAUCAGCAGCAUGCAUUUCAGCAUCGAUCGCCCUGUCAGGAAUACCAAAUAUUUAUUCAUAAUCAAAGUCAAUAGUAUUUUCAUUUUCGACUUGAUUAUUUGAAUGUGCGAUCUAUCUACUUAAGGAAAUAGUCAUCAAAGGUUAAGUUAAAAGUCUCUUCAACUUUUCAUGUUCAUUUGUUCAACUCUCUGUAUGCAAUAGAAUUAUGCGAAUAUCCUAAGAAUAUGCCUUCAUCAGCCUUUGCUUCGAACUUGGAAAGAUUAUCUUUUAAGUUCAUUAUUUAACACCUACAACCAAAAACAUGUAAAAAUUUUACAUUAGGUUUUCGAUUGUUAAGUAUUUCAUAUGGAUUAAUAUUGAAUCUUCGAUGAAUGAAUGAACAAUUCUGAGUAAAACACAUAGUUGACACAACUUCAGCCCAAAGAUAUUGAGGUAAGUUCGCAUAUGUCAACAUAGUCCUAGCCGCUUCACAUAGAGAUUUAUUCCUCCUUUUGAUCACACCAUUUUUUUUGGUGUGUAUGGUGAUGAGAAAUAAUGCGAAAUUCCUUUAGCUGUGAGAAGCGAUACCAACUUUUGAUUUUUAAACUCAUAACCAUUAUCGCUUUUGAUCCUUUGAACACUCUUUUUAUAACUCAUCUCAAUCUUCUUGAUAAAGUUGAUCAUCGUUUGAGAAACCUCAGAUUUUAACCUGAGAAAAAAUACCCAUGUAAAUCGAGAAAAAUCAUCAACAACAACUAAAAUGUCACGCUUUUUAUUGAGUGUCUCAACAAUCGUCGGUCCACAUAAGUUGAUGUGAAGAAGUUCCAACGGUUCCAUGAUAUUCUAAUCUAUAAUGAUUGGAUGUCCUUUUCUGUGUUGUUAUCCUUGUUCGCAAGUUGCACAUAAAGUAUCAUUAUCAAAUUUAAGUACAGGCAAACCUCGAACCAAAUCUUUAGUGACAAGUUUGUUAAUAUUAUGAAAGUUCAAGUGAGACAAUCUACGAUGCCAUAGCCAACUAACAUCAUUAGAAGCCUUCGACAAGAGACACACUGCUGGUUUGCCUACAAUCGGUUUGAUGUCGAGUGUGAACAUGUCUCCAUAUCUUUUUUAUUUGAGAAGCACUUCAUUUGUGCUCACUUUCGAUAUGAUGCUGCCUUCUUCGUUGAACACCACCUGAUUUCCAGUGCCCACAACAAGUUGCGAAACACUAAUCAAGUUAUGUUGAAGGCCUUCAACAUAAGCAACUCGAUUUACUGUGAAUUGCCCAUUCAUAACUUUUCCAUAGCCUUUCACUUGACACUUAUGAUUGUUGCCGAAUUUAAAUACUCCAGCAUUUUCCAAGCUUCUAUAAUCUCGCAAGUUCUCCUUUCUUCCAGUCAUGUGACGAGAGCAACCACUGUCAAUAUACCAUUUCGAAUCGUAUUGCUUAUCACACAUCACCUUGGUGGUCAUAGGAGACUUAUCAGUGGAUUUGGACAUGAAGCAAUGUCCAGAGAUUUCUUCUUCUUCUUCGCUAUUCUCCUUAAAACUAGCGAACAUCGCACCGUGUGUAGGGUGCCUCAUUUCUUCAUCAUCUGAACCCGAAGACCAGAUUUGGUAGGUUCCACUUUCAUCUUCGUCUAUCUCUCCCCUAGCAACCAACGAUAGCCCUUUUUCCUUUCCACGAACUUCCUCAAGCUUUUCAGCGUAGUAAGCUUCGUCUUUGACUUUGGAUUUCUUUUCAUCCUUCUUCCUCAACAUGCAUUCAGCUGCAAAGUGGUUAGCUCCAUUACAGUUAUGGCAAUUGACUCCUAAAUCACCUUUCAGCUUUUGCUCUGCCUUCGAUUCCUUCACAUUUUCAUCCACCUUCUCAUACUUCUCAUACUUCUUCUUCUCCUCUCCUUUAGCCUUUACUACAGCUUUCACAAAACCACUCUUCGCAUCUCCUUGCAUACCCUUCGGGUUGAAUGGCUUCUUAAAAAAUUUCUUUACUAUGUUGUUUGAGUAAAAUGAAACCGCCUCAUCAUCAGAAUUCAUCAGAAACUGUUGGGUCAAUAUUUUGGUUUAUACUUUUCUUUUCUAGGAAAUUGAUUUGUUAUGUAAUAUUGUAUAUGUGUUUACGGUCAGGAAGUGAUUUUACGACCGUAAACAGAGUUUAUGGCCGUAAACCCUGUUUACAGCCCAUGUUUCCCGUGUGUGUAUAUAUAGGGGUGAGGGUGUGAGGAAAAGAGGAUGAACACCAAGGAGAUUAAGUGUGUGCAUUUGAAGGUGUUCUAGAGAGAGAGAAAAGAGAGUGUGUGUUAGUGUGCGUGAAUCUUGUAUCCGGAUAUUCAGUCUAAUCAUAUCAUACAAGAUUCAUAUUAUUCUUCUUCUCCUUCUCUUCUAUUGGAUCUGACAUCAUCCGUUUGAUUGGGAUUCCGCACCAUCAAACGGAUCUGAUUGAUACACAAGCAGAUUGGGGACUUACAAAAACCCAUCAUCAUCCGAGCUUUCCUUUUCAACAGACUCAACUUCAUUCAUUUUCGACACCAACGCCAGUGGUCCACCCAAACUUUGUUUCGACUCUUCUAACAUUACAGCCACUUCGUUUUCGUGUGUCUUCAGUUGAUUGUAUAGAUCAUUCAGACUCAAAGUAUCAAAGCUCUGCUGAUUCUUUAUCAUCACUCACACUUCGCCAUUCUUUGCGAAGCCCCAUAAUGAAUGUAAGGUUGAAUUCCAUAAGAGACCUUGUGACACCAUAUCUGUUGCAUCGAUAAAUGAGUUCAUUCAGACGAUCAUAAUAGUUUUCAAUCGUCUCAACAUCCUUCUGUCUAAACUCCUUAAGCUCAACAAGACAUUGUUUAACAGAAUUGGCCUUUGUCUUUUCACUACCCUGGUAUUUUUCCUUCAAUGUGAUCCAGAUGUCUUUAGCUAUUUUACAACCACGAAUGUAGUUGUAAAAGAACAGGUGGCAAUGCACCUCUCAGCUCUCGCAUACAUCUCUUCUCAUUCUUUUUCAGACGAUCAAGUUGAUCAUUGACUUGAUUUGAAGUUCCAGAAUCUCCUAUUGUUUGAACAUUCGUAGGAGGUAGAACUAUUCCAUUGAUACAGUUCCAGAGCUCCUCAUCAAUCCCAUUCAGAUAAUCUUCCAUUCUGUCAUCCCAUUGAUCAUAAUAUUCCGGAAUCAACAUCGGAAUCUUAGUAGAUGAACCAAGCAAAUAAGAGUAUGAGGUCAUGGUGUUCAUGUUAAAGUUCGCAUUGUUGAACACGAGGACUUUGAUGAAAAACUUGAAAAACUUGAUGAAUUUGUGAAUUGAUCAAAUGAAUUGAUCACAAUUUGCUAAUCGAUUACUCGACUAAACAAUUCAGAUGCAUAAUCGAUUCAAAUCUGAAGAUCAAGAGAGAUUUUCAGAACAAAAAGCAUGGAAAUAUUUUGAAUAAACUCAUAACUCAAAAUGCAAAUGAUUGUAGAAUGAAAAUCAGAUCAACGCAGUUUGAAUCCUGCUCUAAUACCAAUUGAUGUGAAUUGUAAUCGAGAUUUAGAAAGAAAUCAUGAUCUAGAUGAAUGAGUAAUGAAUGAUAUGAACACCAAAUGUAAAUAUUAAUUAGCAAGUUUGUAUUGAACAAAGAAUUCUAAUACAAUACUGAUUCCAAAAUAAGCAGAAAGACUCGUGUCUCUACUUCUAUCCUCCUCCCCUAUUUAUAGGAAACAUGAGUGUACAAAAAUACUAAGUCUAGACAUUAGGCUUUGACAUAAAAAGACUUAGUAAAUAAAUACAUGCGAAAUAGAACAAAAAAUGCUUCGACUUUUACAACAAAAUGACUCAACAAGUAUUGCAUGCUAGUGUGCCUGCUUAGGAGAGAUGCCUUUAUGCCUGUUAUGUAAGUUGGUAGUGUUGCAUGCUUAUAAUUAGUGAUCUCCAGGAGUUGUGAGGAAGGAUUGCUUGAGUUCGAUGAUGCAUUUUGUGUUGUGGUUAAAGCACUUGGGGUUGUAUGCUAGCAUGGUUUCAUGUGUUGGUUUAGAUAGCCCGUUUAGGUUAUGUUCUGGUAGAGGUUGCUUGAUGUCUGAAUGCUGCUUGCUUUGUGCUUUUAGAGACUUCUGUUAAUAUCGACUAACUAUUAAUCGAAUACGUUAGGUUGCAUGUUACAGGGAUUAGAUAAGUUUAGAAGGUUAGAUUUAGCUCUAUUACGCAACUCUCGUUUGAGUCUAACCGUUGUAGGGUGGGAUCUUGCAGUCGAAGAAUUAUCUAGUGCACGUAGCAUGUAAUUGUAUUCGACAAGUAGUUAGUAGGUAUUUAGGGGGGGGGGGUUCCCUUUGCAGCUGAUGGCGGAAAGAGGAGUGAAGGGAAUCCUAGGAGAGCCUAGGGAUAUUUUUAGCGGUGAGUAUUCGCUGAAGAUCAGGUAUUUGGAAUUGGAUUGCUCGAUAGUUGAGUUGAGUAGCUACUAAGAAACUCUAGAACGAUUCUCGAGGAAAUUAUGGAUAGAUGUAGAAGGUAGUAUUGGGCCCGUACUACUGAAAGAAGAGGAUCCAUGCUCGAAUUGAGGAGAAUUCUAGGGGUUCUAAGUACCAGGUUGAGGGUAAAUAACAUGGUUUGGGUGCCAUGAUUCAUUGCAGAGUGUAUGUCCGUCUUUACAAGUUAUCCGAAUGCGGUUGUUGAGACUGAGAAUGGGCCUGGUGAUUGUUGGUCUAGAGGGCCAUGUCAGUCAGGUUUGAAUGGAGUAGGCCUUGCGAGAAAGAUGAGUUUAGGUCUCGAAGAAUUUGAUCAGUGAUGUGCUAGUUUGAGUCGUCGGACUCAAAAAGGAAGUGGAUGUGAUGAGCUGUUUGAGGAUUUGCAGCCUGAGUUGAGUUAUCGGCUGAUGGUUUAUGAUGUCAUUUUCUAUGACGAGAAUUAUAUUAUUCCAGUUUUUGCGUAUUGGAAGGAAGAGAGAGUGGGCUUCCAAUUUCAAAAUUGGGAAGUAGGCCCCAUGGGUUACCAGAUAGUUGUUGUAUUAGCACCAAAAGGGUUCUUAUGGUAUGACUGCCUUAAGGUAUUUUUUACGCCGUAAGAGAGUCAUUAUAGUGGGACUGUGACAGUGAGGUCUCCUAUUUCUAUGUCUAUUCUUGCGAUGGGGUGUUGGUUGAGGAUUCAAAGAUGAAGUGUGUGAUAGUCCAUUUAUUCUCAGAUAAGAGUCGUGCGAUUUUAGGACUGUCGAAAUAUCUGCUUGUGCAGUUUAAUAAGAUUCUUGGUGAUUGGAGGCAGUCAUGUUGGGAAGUUUCCAAGGUCUCCAUCUGAGAGUCGGAAUGCCUGGAGUUGACUGGUCUUUAUUUGGAAGGUCAUCGUAUGUUGCGUGGUACACUCCAAGCGUCAAGUAUGGUAUAUCUGGUGAGCCAGUUUGAAGUUCGGUCUUUUUGGAAUGCUAAUUGGCGGUAGUUUGAACCCUAACUGGGGGAGAACUGGGUAUUAUGUUGGAAGGGUCAUCGAUCUGUUCGAGUUGCGGCUUCAGAAUAUUGGGUUGUAGGGAUAUGUUGUCCGGGUUUAUGAGACUUGGGUCUGGAUGUGGUCAAGGCGAGGUGCAGAACAAGAUGAUGCUUGUUGUAUGUGCUCAGGAAUGAAUGAGUGUCUUCACGGCAGGUAGCCAUUGGUCAGGGAGCUCGUUAUGGUCAAUGUUUCUUUUGGGUUCGCCAAUGAUCGGGUUAUAAGGCGGUUGGGUCGUUGGGCCAAGUUUUGGUUGUUGAAAGAUUUGUCAGUUCGACCUAUAGAUUGCUAUCUAUACUCCAAGAAGAGUAGCGAUUGAUCUGUCAAUCAACUUCAAAGUUGGUAUGUGUAGUUUCACGUGGGUUUUUUUUCAGUAAAUAUUGGGGGUUUGGGUUGUCGUCAACGCAUUCUCAAUCAUUGAUUAAUUUCCGUUCGUCAUUAAUAAGUCAGAAUACUUUGAAGGUUUCGAGCUGCGUAAGUUGAAGAUCAGUGGUCAUGACAAGCUAUCGUUAAAUUAUGUGAUGGUGUAUCUUGGCUUCCGAGUAGGUUUCCCUAAAUUGCUGAAUUGUAGAAUUAUUAUAAGACUCAGGUUUAUUUUGGUAUUAAGUGGAGCAACAGAUCGACUAUCUACCUAUUGCAAUUGUGGGUUAAUCAGUUCUUUUUCUUCAGAUGGGGUUGUGCAAGGGUGUGGAAUUGUAUUGAGGGAAGGUGCUUUGGAUGUAGAAAUCUUCCUUGAGAGUAGUAAAGUGCUAAAUCUAGUUUGGGUAUGAGCACCUAUUAAUGUUUGGUCAUGGAGUAUUAAUUCAGUAAACUCAAUAUGGUGGUGGUUUGGUAAUGAGAUUAUGGGAUGGUUCAGUAAUCUAGUCGUUACGAGGUUGUAAGAGAGUGGAUGAAUACUAGUGGGGGUAAUCACAUGGGACUGUCGAGGGAUAGCUCAAAGUGUGAGCCAUUUAAGGGUUUGUACCCAUGAAGGAAUUUGAAUCGUUAUAUUUGGAGGGAACACCAAAUUUCCAUGCGGUCAGAAAGAAUCCAAGAUAUGUGUGGUCGUGAGUGAGGAGCAAGUUUCAGUUAGGCCAUUGGGACCUUAACCGGUUGAUCAGGUCCAUGGGGAUUACGGUUCGGGAUCUCUCAUAUUCUAAGUUGGAUAGCCUAAGAACUCCAUGUCUGAUGCCCGUUUGUGAUGUUCUUAUAUGAUGCUUCGCUCUCGGGUGGAUCAUCUAUUCGACCGUCUAUCUGACCUCUGACUACAUGCAGCAUCAUGACUGUCGUGGAAAGUUCGUGGGGCGAGCCCAUGGCAAGUGAGGGAGUGUUGUAAGACUGUAGGGUGUCGUAGCAUUCACUAGUCAGUGUCGGAGUGUUGUAAGACUGCAGGGUGCUGUAGCAUUCACUAGUCAGUGUGAGAGUGUUGUAAGACUGCGAGGUUCCGUAGCAUUCACUAGUCAGUGUGGAAGUGAUGUAAGACUGCAGGGUAGCUGUAGCAUCCACUAGGUUGGUAAGCGGUUGAUGGAGUGUGUGAAGUCUAUGAUUUGGCUCUUAGAACUCUCUAGGAUGAUUUGGGCCAUCUUAGACAUGGGUGUUGGGUUGUGGAAGAGCCACAACGUUCUUCGUUUUUGGAUAGAUCGUAGGCCGAUGUUGGGGCCGGAGGUGACUUGUGACUAUAGAUCGGUUUGUAGUAUUUGCUUAGAGUGAAGCAAAUUUAGUGAUUGCGCGUGCAAAGUGAUUGGUUGAGAUAGCUCUGUUGGAUUGAACGGUUGUUGGAGUCAUUUUGACGGAUGGGUUAGAGCAGCCUUUAUUGGUUUAACUUUUUGGUCGGGAGUUGAUCUUGUAUUCAGAGUUGGUGUUAAGCAUUGGAAAGUACUUGGGGCUUAUGUUUGCGGAUAUCAAUGGAUAGUUUUAGUCGGGCAUGGUCAUUCAGUUCGGGGUUCGGAGCCGAAUCAUCUUGGGUUUGGUAUUGGAAUGGUUAUGACUGUCGGGAAGUCAGAUAUAAUGUAGAGUUUUAGCUCCCAGGCAGAUCGGUAGGUUAUUCUUUUGGUGACUGAGGGAAAAGUAUUAAGGUUCAUUCUUCUGAUGGGUUUUGAUAGCAGUAUCGGUGGGUGCUAUUCGUUGCGAGAUGACCCCUCCGUUUCUUUUGGGUUUAAUUCAAGAUCGACUGGUGUGGCAGAAGAAGUUGAAAGGAACGAUUUUAAGGAUGGAAUCUAAUUUAAGUCGGGGAGAAUUGUAACAUCUUGUUUUGGAUUGUUAUGUGAUUUAAGCCUUGUGGGCCGUAAUUUGGGUAUGAGAAGGUUUUGAGUCUUUAAAGAAGAAAGGUUUAGACCCUUUUGGAUGUGGGUAAGGCAAGUUGUGUGAUAAAAGAGUUCGGUUUAUGCUUUAAAUCCCAAGGGUAUCGGUAAAGGCGUUGAUUCUGGACUUUCAUGAAUUUUGGAUCUGAGUUCGACUGGGUUUCAAGAAAAAUAAAGUUGAUAGAAGUGUAGGCCUUCUCGUUACCUUUUUGUGGAUAUAGGGAUCGUCAGAAACUGAUUUAUAACAAAGAAGUUAUGGCCUUCGGAAGUUUGGUGGUUUUCUUCAACUGGGUACACAGGGCAUACACAAAGGGUACGCGGGGCGUACUAGUGAAGAGAUCAGUACGCGGGUGCGUACCUUGGUGUACGCUUGACCUGGAUGGUCGUGAGUGCUCUUCGGAGUACGCUGGGCGUACUCCAAUCAGACCCAAACCCUAUUUUAGGGUUUUGGACCCUAUUUAAGCUCCCUAUCUCAUAACCUAACCUGAAUAUCUUCAGCCUCCAUCCCUCUAAACCCUAGAAAUCGACCCUUAGCCUCCAUUAGAGUGAUUCUUAAGCUUUUUGGUGAUUUAGUGGGUUUUUGGUGCUUAUUGUGGAAGAAGGAGUUUCUUGAGGAAGCACUGCUUGGCUUGGAGCUUGUGGAUCUAAGCCCUAAUCAUAUUGAUUUAGCUCCAUAAAGUAUAAAGUUUGAAUCUUGGUGGUUUUCUCUUAUGGAUCUAGUUGGGUUAUGACUUGUUAUGUUUGGCCCUUGACGAAGAAGGAACUUGGUGGUCAAGCUAUGAUUGGAGUAAAGCUUCUAGAUCCAGAACCUUCAUCAACUUUGCAAGCUACUAGAGGUAUAAAGUUUGUAUGUUGAUGAAUCAUGUGUUUGAUCUAGCUAGUUUCGGGUUAUAUGUACUUUUUUCCCAAAGCUUUAGUCUUUAUGAGUAUGGACUACUUUAGACCAUUUGAGUUGUCCUUUCUGAGGAUUUUGAGUGUUUUAAGUCAUAAAAAUGUGAUCUUGGUCCAUUCCUUCCAUCCAUGCAAAGGAUUAUGAAGUUUGGGUUUUUGUGUUAAAAGUUAGGGUUUCGGUUUGAGCACAUUUAGCCAUGACAAGGCAUAAAGUUGGGAACUUUAUGUUGUAUAAUGUCUUCUUGGACCAGAUUUGAGUGCUGAGUGAAAGGACUUAAGGAGUUAAGGACUAAAUGUGAGUUAUUAGCCUAUUUAUGGAGUUAGAGUGUUUGAAAUCAUGUUUGGUACCCUUUGAGCCAUACUAAGGCUUAAAGCCUUCGACUUUAUGGAUUAAUUCAUUAUUAUGGGAUUAUUUUGAGGUGUUGGACGUUGGACUUAAUGGAAUAAGUAAUUAGAGAAAGAAUUGGAAUUUCGUCAGGAACGUUGUGUGUAAUCCCUGGGAACGCAUCGCGUUCCGGGCUGAGUCUCUAUCAAGCUAUCCUGCGACAAACACCAUGCGUUCCGCCCAUGAACGAUGCUCGUUCGUCUGAUCAGUAGAGUUGCGGGCUUUGGACUUGGACUUGUUUUUCAGGUUGGGCUUUGCUAUUUUGGGCCUUGAUGGGCUUUCCUAAUUGGGUUGCCCUGUUGGGCCUAGAGAGUUAUUAAGUUGGGCCUAGUUUGGGUUGGGCCUUAGAGGGCCUGUUUAGAUUUGAACCUUGUACUUUGGGUAUAACCCUAAAUGUUAUUUGAGAAUGAUGUUGUUUGGCGUAGUAUGUGGAGCAGUUGUGCGGAGGACAUGAGAGUAGGAUUUGCUAUCCAUUGACUAAGGUGAUUCUUCUCACUAUACUUACCUGUGUGGUAAUUUAUGUGUGACCGGAGGGUUUUGUUCGUGUUAUUGACCGGAGGGUCUUAUUUGCUUAUACUGAGAUAUAUGUUAUUAUGCAUUCUGCCUUUGUGACUUAUGAUGUUGUAUUAUUCUAUAUAUACUGAGUUAUGACUGGAGGGUCCAUAGCAAGACGUGAGACCGAAGGGUCUUCACUGAGACACAUAACCGGAGGGUCCUUAUCAAGAUUUAGCCAUGAGAGGCUAAUUAAUUGUGUAUGUGGUAUUUUGGGGAACUCACUAAGCUCCGUGCUUACAGUAUUGAUUUAAAUGGGUUUUAGGUACUUUUGUAGAUUCCAGGAAGGCGGAGGCAUGAUUGUACACUUGGAUAAAUGAAUAAUGUUUGGUGAAUUAAAAAUGAAAAUUGUGUUUUGAAAUUUGAGGUGUUACAAUGUAUAAUUAUAAAGUAGUAAUUUAAGUAUGCUAAUUUCCGAAUAAAAGUAGCUCGUAUUUCGAUUUUCAUAUAAAUACUUGAAGUGUAUUUACAAUAGAUCUUAGUGAUCUAUAUGCCAAAAGAAACUAGUCCAAGAUGGUGGUCAACAACAAGUACCUAAUAUUUACAUACCGGAUAAAAGCUUAUACUCGUAAUCCUCUUUCUCUUUAAGUCUUUAAUAUUUGUAUCUUAAAAAAGCACAUUUCCUGUAGGCUUUCAUAUCUUCNAAAAAAAAAAAAAAAAAAAAAAAAAAAAAAAAAAAAAAAAAAAACCUGAAUAUCCUUCAUGAUAUAUCUAUUAACCUUUUGCAGUGGCAAAGAACAUAUGAAUAUAUAUGUAUAGUACAAAACUAAAAAUCCAUCACAAAUGUAACUAAUAAGUAAUAGUAACAUAUAUGAAGAUGCUUUACAUCAAAAGAAGCCAACCCCGGAUCAGCAUGCGUUAAAUCCUACUACAUAGCUAAUUCGAACCCUUAUGAACCCUAAUAAAAAUAAUUUACAUAAAUGAAAGCAUCAAUGACCUAUAAUUGUAAGAAACAAGAAAAGCAACAAAAACAAUAAAAUCACAGAUGCGAAAACUAAAAGAGCAAAAACUAAAUAAAUGUAACAUCCCAUUUUUCAGGUAUGAGAUUUAUUAUUAUUAAAAGCUAAGUUUUCCUUGGAACUCGUCGAGUUGAUGGCCUCAACUCAACAUGUUGAAGAGCUUUGGGUCAUGAAUAUUUUUGGACCAACUCGAAGAGUUAGAGAGGCAAACUCGACGAGUUGGUGGCUAAUUAAGAAACCCUAAUUUUUAGGGUGUUGCACCCUAUUUAAAGGCCUUAUGCCCUUUUGGCAGCCUCCUUACCAGUCUCCUUUGUCCAGAAACCCUAGUUCGUGUAUCCUCUCUCAUAUUUGUGUGUGUAGGAGCUUAAAGGGUGAUUUAUUAGUGUUAUUUUUAAGGAGCUUGAAGUUCGAGGUGGUUUGAGUGAAAGGAAGGCUAUAGAUUCAGAACCCACUCUAUUGUUGCAGUCAUUUUGAGGUAUAAAUUCGACACCUUGCUUAUCUAUUGCUUAGAUGUCUUCCUUGGGAGUCUAUUGUCAUAUUUGGCUAAUUUUUAGGAUUGUUCAUGGGUUGAGUAUUUCAUGAAGAUAUCAUUUCAGAUCUGGACAUUUUAUGGUCUCAUUGGACUUAAAGUUUCAAGCUUUAUCAAGUUCUAGGCCUCCUUCAUGCUUUAGGUCCCUUAUUAAGCCUUCCUUGAGUUUUGGAGCCUCUUUGUGACAUGCAUUGACGUAAAGUUUGCAACUUUAUGUGGUUUUUCAGCUCCUGGGUAUCAGAUCUGUAUUUUAAAGCCUCAGACUUGAUGAAAAAGGACUGAAUGUGUUAAGCUGGGAAAGCUCGGUGAGUGUUCCAGCCAACUCGACAAGUUGGCUAGGGUUUUGCCGAUUCUAUGAAUACUGUAGGAACUCGACGAGUUGGUAGGUGCACUCGAUGAGUCAGGUCAACAUGGACUGUUGACCUGGACUGUUUACUUUGACCAUGGUUGACCAAGUUUGACUCUUGAGGGCAUUUUGGGUAUUUUGGGGUUUUGAUGGGUUAGUCACAUUGUGGUUGUAGGCAUUUGAGUUCGGAGCUAAGUUUCAGAGUUGGAUUUUACCAGUUCAACACUAUUUGUGAGGUCAGUGUUCCUCACUUUACUUGUUGGGUCGAAGGCACCAAGGCUGACCCGUUUGGAUUGUUAUCCUGAUUAUUGCAUGAUUAAGUAUUGUAGUGAUUAAAUAUGUAUCCUAGUAAGAGGAUAAUGCUAUGCUUAGUGAUCUGUAAGAUCUGCCUGUUUGUCUAUUGACUGGUUAUAUGUUUAAUUGUUAUGUAUAUGUAGACAUGUUAUGCACGGUUGGAUUGAGGCGGUCCUACUUUAUGCUGAAGGCCAACAGAUCCUGGGCAUCCCGGAUAGACUGAAGGCCAGUGGGGUGUACCAGUCAAGCCGAAGGCCCGAAAAACGUUCCAAAUAGGUUGAUGGCCCGAGGUGGCAUACCAAUCAUGUUGUAGGUUCUAUGAGCGUACCAAAUAGACUGUAGGCCGGUAGGGGCGUUCAAGUUAGACUAAAGGCUCUGAAUGCAUGAUGUUUAUGAUAUUAUCCUAGUUUUUGUAUUAUGUUGGUAUUUUGGGGGAAGUCACUAAGCUUCGGGCUUACGAUUUUGGAUUAUGUUUCAGGUACCUCAGAGGAUCGCAGGAAGGCGAAGGUGAUGGCUUUUGAGCACUACAUCAAUCCUAUGGUUUACAUGCAAACCCUAAUAGCUUUGGAUAUAGUUUUGUCUAAUGAACACACAAUUGAUAAUCCAAAGCCAUAAACCCUAGAUCUAAUAAACUAUUACUGAAAUUAGGGUUUAGAUCUUAUCUUUGAUUGUUAUAUAGCAAUAACAAUAAAUCCUUGGCUUCACACAGCUUAGUGCCUCAAGUGUUGCACCUCUAAUGGAGUCACAAACACCACUAAGCAACUUGGAUGAAGAGGGAGGAGAGAGGAGGCACCAAAAAUGGCUGGAAACCCUAAAGGAAGUAUCCACCACGUUUUUGGGGCCAUAAGGGUUCCUUAUAUAUGCUGGCUAUUAGGGUUUACAGCUAGGAAACCCUAAUCUGACUGCUUAAACCCUAAGCAGCCCAUGGACUCCCUCUUUAGAAGCCUUGGAUGAUUUCUAAUGGGUUUCCCCUUAUAAUUCAUCCACUCCAACUUCUAUGGAGUCCAUUAGCCCAUCUAUGUAAUUAUCUUAUAAUUACACAAUAAGUCCCUUAAGUUUAAUUAAUCUCCUUUAGCCAUAAAAUUAAUUUUUAAUUAAUUCUUGAGUAAUAUUAAUUAAACAAUAUGAUUUCUCCUUUAAUAUAUUAUUCUUAUAAUAUAUUAAUAAAUCAUAAUUAAACCUUUCUCUCCUUAAUUCAUCCUACAUAUUUCUAUGGUGAAGGCAACCCAAAAGGAUCAUGCUCAUAAUCGGGUCAAGUACAUACCAAAAUAGUUAUGGACCUAGACACUAAUCCAACAGUCUCCCACUUGAAUAAGUCUAACAACUAUUUUGCAUAACUUCAGAACUGGAUCAGCAAUCGUAGCUUUCAAAAGUCGUAGUCAACUCUGAUCUUAUCAGAUAGCGUGUCCUUUAGAUAAGGGAUCAUAUAUUCCUCCAUUCUCAAAAUAUCUUAUAGACACAAGACAUGAAUUUCGAUCAUUCUCUCUAUACUGUUUCCCGACUUCCGAUUUAUGACAACUGACAGCAGACUACAAUUGAACACAUUAACUUAGUCCCGGCUUGGCCAAGUGCUUAGGGUGUCAUCACUAAAUCAUCGAGUGGCCCACAUAUAUCAUUUUUAUCCCACUUUGGGUAAAAGUGUUGGUUUUUGAGCAUUCUAACACUCCUAAGUGUACAUGCAACCCUAAAUACCUUGGAUCUAUGUUUUCUCUAUUAUACAUGCAAAUAAGAACUUCCAAGGUAUUAUCCUAAUCUAGCAUACAAAAACAAUGAAUGUAACAAGAUAGAAUACAUACCUCUUUGAUGUAGAAAGUCUUCAUGAAGCUUGAGUGCCUAGCCCCAAUAGUGUGGAAGCCUCAAAUGGAAUCACAAUCACCAAAACACUUAGAAUAACUUGAGAGAAUUCUACAACUCAUGAAAUCGGCUAGCCCUUUCACUUCACACUCUAGUGGCCGAUUUUGGUCAAGAAUAAGAUGCUUAUAUAGUUAGGGUUACACCAUGUAAACCCUAAUUGACAUGGCCUUUCAUUUCCAUGAUCCAUGGGUACAAAUACACCAUGGAGCAUCCAUGGACCAUCCUAUGGGUUUUAGCCCAACUUGAUUAUCCAUGGAGCAUUAGCCCACUAUACAAGUAUGGAUGAUUUACACAAUCAACCCAUAUAUUUAAUUAGUCUUCUUUUGAUCACUUAAUUAAUCCUAGAUUAAUUCUUGAUCAAUACUAAUUAAAUAAUCUUAUUAUUCUUAUUAUUAAUAUACUAGAACUUAUAAUAUAUUAAUAACCAUAAGUGUCUUAUUUCUCUCAUUAUAGUCUAUCCAAGUGCAUGAUGGUAUGCAACCCAAAUGGACCAUGCCGGGUCGGGUCAAGUCUUACCAAUUAUAGUUAUGGACUUAGACAUUAAUCCAACAGUCUCCCACUUGGAUAAGUCUAAAACUAUUAUUGCGUAUGACUUCAGGAACCAACUGGCAAUCGUAGCUCUCAAAAGCUUCUGUCGAACUCUGACCUUGUAGAUGAACUCUGACCUUUGUCAAUGACUUGUCCAUUAGAUAAGGGAUCAUAUAUUCCUCCAUUCUAGAUAUCAUAUGGACUGAGACAUGGAUUAUAAUCAUUCUCUCUGUCCAUUUGUUGUUUCCCGAUUUCCGAUUUAUGACGACUGACUAAUUGAACAAAUCAAAUCAGUCCUGGCCCGGCCGAGCACUUCCAUUUGUCAUCAUCAAAUCAUCGAGGGGCCCACAGAUAUCGCUUUUAUCCCGAAGGUAAAAGGAAUGGAUAAACUUCGACUCAUAUGGCUUGUUCUACUACUUGUUGAAUCAUACACAAAGGCACGUUUUAUAGCACCGAGUUACCAAAUGCGUUUUCGUGCAAUCAAUGUACUAUCAACUCAUAGUAACAACUCAUAUCUCUAGGUUUGAAGAAUAUAAGAUAUUAUCGUCUCAUGAUCACUCGUGAUAAAAUCCAUGAAGUGAUUCCAAUGAGCGCGGGUUGAAUCCAAUACUCAGAACUUAUGAGCACUCAUGAGUGUUGUAGCCCUUUGUCCAACACCUUAGACCUCUACAAGCCAACCCAUGACAGUCUUAAUUCAUAUCUACUUCCAACAUAUGACCGACUGUGGAUGGUUUGAAUAACUUAGUCAUUCCGGAAGAAUAACCCAGUUUAUUCGGGAAGUCAAAACAUGCAAAAUGAAACACAAUAAUAAUUGAAUCCAAUAUGGUAUCAACCCUUUGAACAUAAAUAAAACACCUUUUAUUUAUCACCAUAUGAUUACACAUUAUUCAUUGUAUACUGUUUCAGCUAUCAACUUUAUUCUUGAAUUUAAAACAAUAGUUGUCCCAUGCUCCAAGCAUGUACACUAUGUUUUCUUAAACACUAGUCAUGCCACACACCAAGUAUGCAUACUAUGUUUGUCUAUGAUCUUUACUUUGUGAACUAGAUCAAUUGAACAUAACUUCAAUGAUUCUCUUUUCACACUCCCAAAUCCUUACUGCAAAUGCAAGAAUUCCAAAUUCAUGCCAUUUACUGAAAUCUGUUAGAUUCUAAACUUAUAUGCAUUGAUCCUCUUGUAAUGAUUAUGCACAAAGUCACAAAGACUUGGCAACAAUCAUUACAGAGUAUUCCAAAGGAGAUCAACUCCUUGGAAAUAUCCUUCUUGCAUUAAGUUUCCUUAAUCUUACACAGAUUGAAAAUUCUAACUUUGAAACAUUUCCAGAUUCCAUUUUGACUAUCACUUCUGAACAAGAGUUGCCUCCUUACAGAUUAUGUCAAUAUGGUCCUUCCAGAAUUAUCACUAUACUUCCAAUUGUCCUUGAGUAACCAAUCUUUGGUAAACCUUAGAUUGUCCUCGACAAUUGUUUAAUCCUUUUAGUCAUAUCCAGUUCUAAACCUUUUCCCUUCUUAAUGCCCCAGGCAUUUGGAAAAUUUUAGAACGGAUGAAUAUAGCACAUGUAAUCGAUCCUAUAUCCGAAGCAUAUGGGACACGAUUCAUGAUGUCUUACAUAAAGACUAAACCAGUCUUUUGCUAUAAUAUUUCCAUUUCAAUUUGCCAAGUUCUCAUAAUUCAGAUUAUGAAAAGGGAUGCCGUAAUCAUAAUCGAAUUUUAGAACGCAAAUAAUGGACCCAUAUACAGAAUUUCCUUAUGUUGAGCCAUUCCAACAUGAAAUUCAUAUAUAUCCUUGACUAAAUGAUUAAAACCUCACGAUCUAAGCUUAUAGAUUUGAGAUGAAGCAUAAUUUCCUCUCCCUUAAUUAUAGCAAAACAACUUUUUCCCAAUUGAAACUUUUGUUUUCUAUAAUUAACAUUGCUAACUUGCAAUACUUAUCAUAAUUAUCAUGCUCCCACUAACAUGAUGAUUAUUAGCAUAACACUUAUGCUCCCACUAGCUUUGACAUGUACUCAGAAAUCAGCUGGACAGUCUGAAAUUUAGAUUCAUACACCCUUUCCGUAGAUAGCUCACCUGUGUGUCUAAGCAAUUUCAAGAACCAUGAAAAGGGAUACCGUAAUCAUGGUCUCAAUUGCUUAGGCAUUUGCCAUUUCUCACAAGUCCAUGUUAGUGUGCCGGUUAACCACACGCGCUCCACUAACGACUUUUGAAAAUGCAAAUAACACAAUUGAUAUCUUCGUAAAAUCUACUUAGUGAAAGCGUUUCCUCACCAUCAUUUUCAUGAAUCGGAGAGAAACCUUAUGACACUUAGAUUUAUAUGGUGUAUGAGUUCCUACCCAUAUGAAUUUGUCAAACCAUAAUCACAAGACAAAGAUAAUGACAAAUCCAAAACCAUAUGGAUUGAACUCAAUCUUAACUUCUUGCCACCUGGCAGCUCAAGGGCCUGCCAUUGCUUCCAAGUUGUUAUGCAACAAACUGAGAACUCUAAGAACUCAUAUGCAAAGCCAACUUUAACUGGAAUGGGCACAGAUAUGUCAACACGAUAGGUUAUAAACCUCAAGUCGUGUGCUAGUGAAGAACUUUAGGUUUUAUUCUUGAUUAUUUCUUGAGACUUUCAAGACCUUUAAGACUCCCACUGUCCUCUUGACAUAUAAGACUCCCUUGUCAAACAUCCAAGAGAUAGUGCGGAUUCUAAUCAAGAAAAACACUUUACCCAAUUGGCCUAAGUUGGUCUUUGUUUUAUCCAAAACAUCACAACUUACCAAUUUCAAAUGUACAAGAGUAGAAAACUUUUACUCUUACAUUUGACAAGUGUUUUAAACCUUCUUUAAGACAUGUCACUCAAAUGACAAUCUUGGAGUAUGACUCUAAGACUUGUAUUGGAACGAAGUAUGACUCAUCUUCUUGAUUUAACCAUUUCAACAAUUCAAGUUCCUCUUCUUAGUCAUAAGAAUGCACUAAGAUUUCCUUAGAGAACUAAUUUUGAUAUGGUUUCUUAAUCAUUAAGAUGAUCACAAAACUGAUACUAAAGUACUCUCCCAUCUUUUCAGAUUUGAGAAACUUUUAUCCUUCUGCCUUAUUUGAUUCUUCUUAUCGAUCUUUAGUGGUGGACUUAAUCAGUGCACAAGAAUGUGUACUCGAUCCCUAAGUCCUUUACUUGACUCACACAUCCAUGUGAACAAGUAAUUAGUCUUAAUUUUCCAAAACUUGAAAGUUCUCAUUCAUCAUGCUAUACAACUUGCAUGAUUCCAAGUUCCGGUCCAAUUGAAACUUGGGUGAUGAGAAUCUUUCCUUAUUUGGUAAAUUUAGACAUUACCACAAAUGAAAGAAUCAAUUUCAUAUUUCCACUCUUGCUCUUAAUGGAAUCAUAUAAGCAACAAUUUUUCCUCAAAUGCCAUUGUAAGGAUAUUUUAAAAUAAAUAAAAUCAAAAAAAUUUUCUUUUAUUUUAAAACUUUGCGGAAAAACUUAUCCUUACAAUCCAUAUGAAAACUUGUUGUUAUCUAUUCCUAAGCAAUAUCUCAUAACUCCUAAGAAGUAGCUCAAGAAUCCGAUCUUCAAACUAUGCGAUAGAAAUCCAUCUACGCCAUCAGAUUCAGCAUAUUCUUUCUUUAAGUUUCUUCACUUUUCUUUGAUUCUUAAAACAUCACCAUGUGACCCAGUCACAUCAUGUAUCAAGAAUCUCAGAAUAGAAACUUAACAGAGUUAGAUAGUGGACUUUACCUGAAGUAGAGUCAAACUUAUUGACUUUAACAUCCUUAGGUAAAUUUGGCAGCUUCGCAACCAAUGCCCCUUCCUUUGGCAAUAUAAACAUAUGGACCCUUUGAUAAUGGUACACGGGACUAUCACAGACUUAGCUUUUCUCUUUACCAUUUGGUCAACCGAGUUGACUAUGGCCGAUCCCUUUCCAUUGGGAAGAGAAUGCUUUACUGGAUAUCCAAUGUCAUCAUUGUCAAUGUCCAUAAAGUUUUAGGAAGUUGAUCUUAGCAAAUAGAUAAGAUCAUUAAGGGUCUUGUCAUAGUCUGUUUCAUAGGUGUCCCAAAGGAACUCACUAUGUGACUUAGAAAGUGGUUGAACCACCAACUUUCUCAAGACUUUGACACCCAACUCUCCCGGCUUGUCAAUAUGUGACUACAUCUCCAAGAUGUGACCACACCUAGACCUUGCCUUGCCAAUAGGGCCUGAGUGACCUUAAACUUUUCAAGAACUUGUGGGUUAGGGAGAAUAAUUUGAAGAGGUGAAGAAGUAUGAUAUCCAUGGGACAUCAUCUUCAUUAGGAAACCUUGUUUCAAGAGAUUUGGGAAGAUCAUAGGUGUCUAAACCAGACAUCUUUUGGGAGAUAUUCAAGAUAGUUGAUUUAAAGUCCUUAAUAUGACACCCAAUAUGAAAUAUUAAGGCUAGGACCCAACAAACUAUUUUAUAACUUAGAAGAGGUAUGCCGUAAUCCAAGCUAUAAAAUAUUUGAAGGUAGGUGAAUGACGAUUCACCAAUUUCCACCAAGAUAAACGAAAUGUAUUAUUAGGUUUUAAUUGGUUUUGAAACUCCUAGAUCUUUGAGAUUCAUUGAACUUUUCAAAGGCAUGUUUCAAUCUCGAGUGUGCCCUUCAGGUUUUGUGACUGGGAUGCCGAGGAUCACAAAACAAGGUGUGAAGUAACCAUGCAAAUCACUUGGUACCCUUAAUAAAUUACCCCUCAAUCGAUGUGCCGGUUAACCACACACGCUCCAUCGAUACUAUGAUAAAUAUUAAGUCACCCUUUACCUACCUUGUUAAGUCCAAGUUAGUGUGCCGGUUAACCACACACGCUCCACUAACGACUUAGACAAAGUGUAAAGUGUAAUUUCAUGGAUUAGCACCUUAUUCACAUUUUUCCUAAGUAACUAAGAUUGGGUAUUAUUAAGAGUUUAGUUACUUAGUAUUAUCAUUAAUACUUUUAAUGAAGGGAGAAUUCUAGUCCUGUCAAACCCGUUCGGCUAACGACCCUCCACCAGUCAAGCAAGCGGUGGGUGAGAGUGGACACCCAUUAAGUUGCCAUUUUAUAGGCAACAACCUUAUACCCACCUUAUAGACCGGCUUCGUGAAUGAGGCGUACUAGCGGUAAGACUGACUUUACUCUUAUACAUAUAUAUAUUAUUAACUUAUAAUAUUAUAAAGUAUAAGGGUUGAAUUUUAACUUUUAAAAUUCUAAGGGCUAACUUGGAAUUAAAGUAUUCAUACUUGAAAACUUUUCAAAUUCCAAAACUUGAGGGCAAGUUUUGAAACUAUUCAAAACUAAUUAAUUCCAUAACUUAUGUGUUUAAAGUAGUUUUAAUCCAAAAACUCUUCAAGUUCCAUAACUUGAGGACAAGUUAUGGAAGACUUUAAACUAAUAAAAGAACUAACUUUUUCUUUAUUUUAUAACUUAUGGAUUUAAUUAUGGUUACAUAUUUUUCUUUAAUGAAGUGACUCUUGAACUUCCAUAACUUGAGGACAAGUUAUGGAGUCAAAAAAAAUUAUUCAAUGACACAAGACUCUUCAUUUUGUAACCAUUGCCAACUAUUAUGAGUUUUAUGAGUCUUUAAUGUGACUCUUCAUGUAACUUGAGGACAAGUUACACAAACACAUUUUAUACUCAACUCUUAGAUUAAAAUGGAUUGAAAACAACUAUUUCACUCAACAUUUCUAUUAAUCUAAGCAACUCAUAAGAACAAGAUAAUUCAAAUCAAACUUUUUCAUGUAAUUAGUCUAAACCUUAAACUAAUACAAAACAUGAAUCUAUUGACAAUUAUCUUUGAAAAUGGAUUAGCAUGAACAUUACCACAUCAAAAACAAGUUUAUAAGUUCAAAAACAACUUAGGGUAAUGUUCCUAGUCCAUUUCUAGCCAAAAAACUCGAAAAUAUGCUGUCUGGGGGUCCAACUCGUCGAGUGCAUGAACAAACUCGGCGAGUUGGAUCGAAUUCAUCACUUUUUAGGCAUGGACUCGUCGAGUCUCCUGAUGGACUCGCCGAGUCUGAUGGCCAGACAGCACCAGAUUCGUUUUUUCAGCUUCUAUUGCAGGUAUAACAAGAAAACAAGCCUAGGCUCUGAUACCACUGUUGGGUUUUGAGCAUUCUAACACUCCUAAGUGUACAUGCAACCCUAAAUACCUUGGAUCUAUGUUUUCUCUAUUAUACAUGCAAAUAAGAACUUCCAAGGUAUUAUCCUAAUCUAGCAUACAAAAACAAUGAAUGUAACAAGAUAGAAUACAUACCUCUUUGAUGUAGAAAGUCUUCAUGAAGCUUGAGUGCCUAGUGCCCCAAGUGUGACACCUCAAAUGGAAUCACAAUCAUCAAAACACUUGGAAUGAUUUGAGAGAAUUCUACACUCUUCAAAAUCGGCUAGCCCUUUCUUCACUAUCUCUAGUGGCCGAUUUUUCCUCAAUAAUAAGAUGCUUAUAUAGUUACACAAUUAGGGUAAACUCUUAAUUGUCAUGGCUUUCCAUUUCCCAGGAUCCAUGGGUACAAAUACACCAUGGAGCAUCCAUGGACCAUCCUAUGGGUUUUAGCCCAACUUGAUUAUCCAUGGAGCAUUAGCCCACUAUACAAGUAUGGAUGAUUUACACAAUCAACCCAUAUAUUUAAUCAGUCUUCUUUUGAUCACUUAAUUAAUCCUAGAUUAAUUCUUGAUCAAUACUAAUUAAAUAAUCUUAUUAUUCUUAUUAUUAAUAUACUAGAACUUAUAAUAUAUUAAUAACCAUAAGUGUCUUAUUUCUCUCAUUAUAGUCUAUCCAAGUGCAUGAUGGUAUGCAACCCAAAUGGACCAUGUCGGGUCGGGUCAAGUCUUACCAAUUAUAGUUAUGGACUUAGACAUUAAUCCAACAAAAAGGAAUGGAUAAACUUUGACUCAAAUGCUCACUUGCACCUACUGAUCGAAUCACAUACAACGAUAAGUUUUAUAACACCAAGUUACUGGUGCGUUUACUUAUCAUCAAUGUGCAACCGCCCGGAAAAUAACAACUCACACGUCUCGGUUUCAAGAAUAUGCAAUAUUAUCGUCUCACAAUCACUCGUGAUAAAAUCCAUGAAGUGAUUCAGGUGAGCAUGGGGUUAAUCCAAUACUCUAAUCUUAUUAAAGCACUCAUGAACUCUGCAUCAAACUUGUGCUUUGUCUAAAUACUUCAGACAAUCUACAGACAGAUUCAUGACAGUCUUCCUUCAUACCUACUCCCAAUGUAUAACCGAUUGUGGAUGUUUGAAUAACCUAGUUAUUUUGGAAGUCAAAACAUGCAGAGUGAAAUGCAAUAAUAAUAUUAAUCCUAUAUGGCCCCAAAACUUUUGAGCGUAAAUAAAACACUUUUAUUUAAACACCAUGUUGAUUACUCAUUACUCAUUGCUUAUUGUUUCAUAAAACCAACUUAUUACUUGAAUUAUAACAAUAGCUGUCCCAUGCUCCGAGCAUGCACACUAUGUUUCCUAUGGUUCAUGCUUUGUGAAAUAGAUCCAUUGAAAACUAUUCCAUUGAUGCUAAUUUCACAAUUCCUUAUCCUCAACGAUAGUGUAAGAAUACAAGGUUCUUUCCACUACUAGAAUAUGUUAGAUUCUAACAUUUUAUGCAACGGUCAUUUCGUAAUGUCACGACACAAAAGUCACUAAGACUCGGCCAAUGAAAUUACAAAAUGCUCUAUUGGAGAUUGUUACAAGACAAUUCCAUAGUCAUGAAGUCUCAUAUUCAAAGUACAUUCCUUUGAACAUCCUUCUUGCAUAAAAGUUUCUAAUCUAGACAUUGAUUCUCGAUAUCCAACACCCAAUAUGGAAAAAUUUCCAUAUUUGCCAUAUGACAAUUCAUUCUAAAUAGAAUCUUAUCUAUUCAUAAUAAUGUUAAUAUGGUCCAUCCAUGACUAUACUUCCAACUAUCCACAAGCGACCAAUCCUUGGCGAACCUUAGAUUGUCCUUGACAGUUGUUUAAUUAUUUUAGUCAAAACGGGUUCUAUUUCCUUUUUCCCUCUAAUUGCCCUAGGAAUUUGGAAAAUUUUAGAACGGUCGAAUAUUUCAGCAUAUGCAAUCGAUCCUAUACCCGAAGCGUAUGGGAUACAAUUCAUAAUGAAAAAACGUGACACUUUACCAGUUUCUUAGUAUAAUAUCGUCAUAAUAUUUCUAUUUGCCGUGUUCUCAAAAUUCGGACUAUGAAGAGGGAUCUCGUAAUCAUAAUCGAACUUUGAGAAUGCAAAUAAUAAAUAUACCCUUGAAGAGGGAUCUCAAUCUAAGCUUUUAGAUUGGAAACGGAGUAUAACAUUCUCUCCCUUAAUUAUAGCAAAAACAACUUUUCAACCCCUACAACUUUGCAAAGGGAAACUUUUGUUUUUUUAUAAUUAAUAUUGCUAACUUGCAAUACUCACCGUAAUAAUCAUGCUCCCACUAAAAUGAUGAUUAUUUCCUUACAAGCAUAACACUUAUGCUCCCACUAGCUUUGACAUAUAUUCAGAAAACAUUUGAACUUCUAGAAAACAAUGCUUAUUGAAUUCCUUAAGUUCAUAUUUCUAAAUACCCGAUGCUUUGAUAAGCCUUUAUCUAAGCUUCUUAAACUCAUACACCUUUGCCUUAGAAAGCUCACAUGUGUGUCUAAAGAAAUUCAGAACUUAUGUUACUAAGUCCCAAAUGUUCAAACCAAUUGCCAAAUCUCACAAUUCGAACUAUGAAAAUGGAUGUCUUAAUCAUAAUCGAAUUUGAGAAUACGAUUUUCAUAAUUGCUAUCUUCUAAAAUCUCUCUUAGUGAAAGCAUUUCCUCACAAUAAUUUUCAAGAAGGAGGGAAACCUUAUGACACUUAGAUUUUAUGGUGUAUGUGUUCCUAUCCAUGUAAAUUUUCCAAAACGAAGGUUUGCGACAAAUCCAAAACCAUAUGGACUGAACUUUCUCAAUUUUGAUUUCUUGCCUCAUGGUAACACGAGUGCCCACCAUGUCUUCCAAGUAGUUUAGCAACUCAUCCUUACAUAUCAAUGUACUUUCCAUUUAUCAAGGUGCUUGCCUUUAUGCAUACAAAUGAGAACUCAUAGAACUCACAUACAUAUUUAACUCAACUGGAAUGGAACAGAAACAAGAGUAUGUCAGCCACAAUAGGUUAUAAACCUCAAGUCGUACACUAGUGAUGAUCAACUAGGUUUAUUCUUGAUUUGUUCUUGAAACCUUUCAAGACCAUUAAGGCUCCCACUGACUCCUUGACAUAUAAGAUUCUCUUGUCAAGAAACUUUUCUUGACAAACAAAUAUUCAAGAGUUAGUGUAGCUUUUAUCAAGACAAAACACUUCACAAAAUUGGUCCUAGUUGGUCUUUGUCUUAUCCAAGACAUCACAACUUACUGUGACAACCCGAAAUUUUCAUUUGUAUAAACUCUACAGUCAUGCACUUCAAAUAAUAGUCAAAUUCAUUUCUGUACAUUUUUGGCCGGUUUAAAAUUCAUUUGAGUAUUUUUAUUUUUUUAUUUUCGUCAAACGAACAAAUAAACGGAAAUAUCUUUUAGGAGUAUUGAGUAGCAAGUAAGCAAAAAACACCUUGGUUAGGUGUUUACGGACAAACAUGAGGAGUUUGGGCCGUAAACUCCUCUUUGACCAAGAACUCAUGCAUAUAGCAUGAGUUUACUCCCCAAACCCCUCACUUCUCACUCCUUAGCUCAAGAACUCCCACCGUUCUCUCUCAACUAUCAUAAUAUCAUCUUCCAAAUCCUCCAAAAAUGUAAGUUUCUCUUCACUUUGUUUUGUUGUUAUAACACCUUUUCUAGUGUCUAUACAUCAUUUCAUCCAUGGAUUCUUCAUUUCUACUUAGAACUUCAAGUGUUCUUCAAAACACCAAGAACACACACUAGUGUUCUUGGGACCUAAACACUCUUACAAGCUUCCCAUAAGUAUGUACACUCCUCCUAUCUAGUUAAUUGCUUAUUAUACUUGUUAAUCCAUGGAAAACAUCAAAAACACCCAAGAACACUUAGGUUUACGGUCAAGGGAUAUCCUUGAACCGUAAACAUCAUCAAGUGGUGUUUAAAUGCCCCUAACACCUUCUAUGGCUUGGAUAAAAGACUAGAACCUUGCAUGCAUGAACUAGAAACACCAAAACACAAAAUGGUUGGAGUAACCAUGAGUUUACAGUCGUAAACUCAUGGGUUUACGGCCGUAAACUCCCAAGGAGUGGUCCAAAGACCGUAAACUCCGAAAGGUGAGCCAUUUCGAGCCCUAACCACUUCCUAAGCCCUUGAUUCAAACCUAGAACCCUUCCUUGUGAGGUAUAAGACCUUAAAACACACAAAUUAACCAUUACCAUGAGUUUACAUCCAUAAACUCAUGGGGGAAAUGGUCCAAAAGCCGUAAACUCAUAUGGUGUUACUAAAUGAGGAGUAAACUCCAAUGUGAGGCCAUACUCUCCUUAGAUGCAACCCUUUAGCACUCCUAGCCCUUGAAGCAAAGUGUUUUCAUGUAUUAGGAUGACUUUACUUGCUUAAUUAGUGAUUAAUUAACUAAUUGGAUACAUAUAUGUGUCACUACAUUUUACAUAGGAUCCGUGUGUGUGUUCAAGUCCUCACUUGACACCUAGCAUCCUACCUGACACUUCCAUCCAAUACACUCACUGUAGGUGAGUUCAUACCCCUUAAUUAACCUUUUAAAUGAUUUUAAAUGCUUUUAUUGGGGGGGGGGAAUACAAGUUGAACAUUUAUAGUUAUUGCUUUAACCACAUGUGAUUAAUAACUAGAACAAACAGACAGACUUUCUAUUGCUUCCAAAUUGCUAUCAAACUUAUGGAUUUUCAAGUGUUUCAAACCUUUAUUUUACUCUUUAAAUACUAAAACUGUUUUCAAAUUCUUUUAAACUUACAUUUCUUUCAAACCCAUAUGUGUGUGUGUGUGUGUGUGUUAGAUAUAAUAGUUUUCACUUCAGUUCAGUACAUUUGUGUAACAAAGGCAUGCAAAUAACAUUACUAUUUAACUAUAAUAGGUAUAGUUAAGCAUUACUACUCAUUACUACGAUUAAAAUGACACUUACCAAAGUCAGUUCAGUUAUGAGUCAAUACACUAUAUACUAUACAAGAGAACACUCUAUACAUUAUACCCGAAAAUAUACUAUACAACAUACAAAAGAAUAUACUAUAAUUAGAAUGUGACAUACUACUUCUUGAUACGACACUUCAUGGUGCUAUCACUUUGUAACCAGAGUCUCCUAGAGGGAGAGUGGGAAUUGUGUGUAUAGAUCUAUAUGGGACAGAGACUCCCACAUCCCGACUGCUAGCUACAGUCUCAGUCGAAAGGAUAAGGGGUGACAGAAUGUUACCUCACUAUAUAGGACCUGGAGGGUCAUCAGUUAUUCAGCCUUCAAUCAGCAUGGUUACAUAUGAGUUCACAUUCAUUCCUCUAGACUUUUCGAGGAGUCUUAUUUAUUUAAUACUACAUGGAGUCCGCGUUUUAUCACUUUAUACUCAGCAGUGUCACUGCCUGGGGUGAAAUAUUUAUUUUUCCUUAUUACAUUUAUUUUGAAAUCACCUUUUAUGAGUGAAGUCAUAAACUAUAUUUUCAUACAAAUAGUUUCACUGGGGAAAACCCUUACAUUUAUGAAAGUACAAAUACACAAAUAAUCGGGUCUUGGUAGAAGACUACUUUUACUGGAAAAUAUAGGAUUUUCUAGGGGGUAUACUGUUUAUAAACACUGAAAUCAGUUAUUUCACCACAUAGUUGUAAACAUUUUUAUACAAGUAAUGACACUAAAUACUUAUGAACUCACCAGCUUUAUGCUGAUAAACCCUUUCAAAAUAACCUGUAUUCUCAGGUCAUCAGUAGACAGGUACAGAUGAAGCUUUUGAGAAGAUGGAGCACAUGCAAAACUCAUCUUUUAUUUUGAUUAUACUUUUGGUGUCUUACAAACUGUACAGAACACACUUGUAUUACAAUUAUUAUAUUAAUAUUAACGCAAUGGAUGUUGUUGCUUGUCUUUACUAUUAUGAAUUGUUGUGAUACUGUACAUGACGUCCUCCACCCCAGAACAUUUUCGUCGUUCUUAGUUUUGGGGUGUGACACUUACCAAUUUCAAAUGUGCAGGAAUAAGAAGACUUUUUCCAAUUCCACAUUUGUUAGAGUGUUCUAAACCUACUAAAGACGUGUCACUCAAUUCGCAAUCUUGGAGUAUGACUCUAAGACUCGAUAUUGGAACAAAGUAUGAUUGACUUCUUGAUUUAACCAUUUCCACAAUUCUCGAUUCCUCUUCUUAGACAUACAAAUGUACUAAGACUCACUUAGAGGAUCAAUUGAGAUAUGGUUCUUAAUCAUUAAGACUUAUCAUAAAACACAAUAAAAGGUACUCUCCCUUCUUCUUAGAAUAGAGAAACUUUUAUCUUUCUGCCUACUUGAUUCUUCUUAUUCAUUCUGCAAUUUAUUGAAAAUCUUUCAAUCAACUCAGAAUUAUAUUUAAUCUUAUAAGUAUAACCAUAUUUACUAAACUUUAGUAAGUCAUGACGAAUAUCUUUAUCACACUUGUGGUGGACUUGAUCAACGCACAACCUAGUGUACUUGAUCUCAUUGUCCUUCACUUGACACUUUGUCAAAGAAUUAGUCUAAUUUCCAAAUAUGAAGUUUCUCAUUCAUCACACAACCAAGUUGUAUGAUUCCAAGUUUCUGUCCAAUUGAAACUUGGGCGGUGAGAAACUCUCCCUAUUUUGUAAAUUCUUGACAUUUCCACAAAUAGCAAAACAAGAAUCAUAUCCAGUUUAACAUUGCUAAAUUUAGAAAUACAUAAACAUCCAUUUUCACACAUGCCAUUGUAAGGAUAAAUAAAUAAAUAAAACUCAAAAUUUAUUUUAUUGCGGAAAAGCUUUUCCUUACAAUACGAUUCAACUGAAAACUAUGUUAUUACAUAUUUCUUAGCAAUCUAUCUUAACUCCAAAGUAGCAGCUCAAAAAUCUGAUCUUUAAGCAAUGCGAUCGAAAUCCAUUUCUUCACGAUCAGAUUCAACUCACUUCUAUUGGAUUAAUGUCUAAGUCCAUAACUAUAUUUGGUAUGUACUUGACCCGACCCGGCAUGGUCCAUUUGGGUUGCACUUCACCGACACAAUUUAUAUGGAUAAUCUUUUGAGAAUAGUAUGUUUAUGAUUAAUAUUAAUAUAUUAUAAGUUCUAAUAUAUUAAUAUGGAAUCAUAUUAUUUAAUUAGUAUUGAUCAAGAAUUAAUUUAUAAUUAAUUAAGUGAUCAAAAGGAACUAAUUAAAUAUGGACUCUUAUAUAUAUGGAAUGGGCCAAGUUCAUUUAGGUUGGGCUAAGCUUUCAUGGAUAGUCCAUGGAGUGUUUAACCCAUGGAUCCUAGGAAAUGAAAGGUCAUGGGUAUUAGGGUUUAACCCUAAUCCUCCAUACUAUAUAAAGAUGUCUUUGGUUGGUGAAAUUGGCACUAGUGUGGAUACACUAAAGAAGGGCUAGCCAAUUUCACUAGAGAGAACCAAGUAAUCAUAUUCUCUAAAGUAUUCCAAGGUGUCUUGGUGAUUUGUGAUUCCACUUGAGGCUUCCACACUAUUGGGGCUAAGCUCUUAAAGCUUGAAGACAUCAAGCUACAUCAAGAGGUAUGUAUUCUAUCUUGUUACAUUCAUAGUUUUUGUAUGCUAGAUUAGGAUAAUACCUUGGAUGUUCUUAUUUGCAUGUAUAAUAGAGAAAACAUAGAUCCAAGGUAUUUAGGGUUGCAUGUACACUUAGGAAGUGUUAGAAUGCUCAAAACCCAACAGUGGUAUCAGAGCCACGGGUUGUUUUCUGUUAUAUUGAUGCAAAUAUUUUAUUUUCAAAGUUGAAAAAAAAAAAAAAAAAAAAACAUGAAGUUUGUCAAAUUUUAAGAUAAUUACUUGUUCUUGUGAAAAACUAAUUAUUUGUAAAAUUUGAAUAAUUUGCUUUAUGAGUUGAAUUAGGUCAAAUUUAAUAAAAGAUAAAAUAAUAUGAUUAUUUUAUUAGUUUUAAAAGUUUGAUCUAAAGAGUUUUAUUUUUUGAAACCUCCAUAAGUUAUGGAUAUGAAAAGGUUUUAAAAAAAAAAUUGAUUCAAAGUUUUUUUGGAGUUACAAAAUUUGGUGUUAAUGUUUUAAAGGAUUCCAUAACUUAAGAAUAAGUUAUGGAUCACCAAAAGUUUUUUGUGUUACCUUGUUUUAUGAGUGAAUUUAGAUUAAUGAAUAAAAUUAUGUGAUAGUUGGUUUUAAUCCAAAUUAAUCUAAGAAUUGAUUCUAAAAUGUGUUUUUGUAACUUGUCCUCAAGUUAUAUGAAAAGUCACAUUUAAGAAUCAUAAAACUCAUAAAAAUUGGCAAAGGUUACAAAAAUGAAGAGUCUAGUUCUAAUUAAAUGGUUUUAUGACUCCAUAACUUGUCCUCAAGUUAUGGAGGACCAAGAGUCUCUUCAUUUAAUAAAAUAAAAUAAAAUAAAAAAAGGUGUAACCUUAAUUAAUUCCAUAAGUUAUAAAAUAAAGAAAAGUUAAUUCUUUUAUUAGUUUAAAGUCUUCCAUAACUUGUCCUCAAGUUAUGGAACUUGAAGAGUUUUUGGAUUAAAACUACUUUAAACACAUAAGUUAUGGAAUUAAUUAGUUUUGAAUAGUUUCAAAACUUGCCCUCAAGUUUUGGAAUUUGUAAAGUUUUCACUUAUGAAUACUUUAAUUCCAAGUUAGCCCUUAGAAUUUUAAAAGUUAAAAUUCAACCCUUAUACUUUAUAAUAUUAUAAGUUAAUAAUAUAUAUAUGUAUAAGAGUAAAGUCAGUCUUACCGCUAGUACGCCUCAUUCACGAAGCCGGUCUAUAAGGUGGGUAUAAGGUUGUUGCCUAUAAAAUGGCAACUUAAUGGGUGUCCACUCUCACCCACCGCUUGCUUGACUGGUGGAGGGUCGUUAGCCGAACGGGUUUGACAGGACUAGAAUUCUCCCUUCAUUAAAAGUAUUAAUGAUAAUACUAAGUAACUAAACUCUUAAUAAUACCCAAUCUUAGUUACUUAGGAAAAAUGUGAAUAAGGUGCUAAUCCAUGAAAUUACACUUUACACUUUGUCUAAGUCGUUAGUGGAGCGUGUGUGGUUAACCGGCACACUAACUUGGACUUAACAAGGUAGGUAAAGGGUGACUUAAUAUUUAUCAUAGUAUCGAUGGAGCGUGUGUGGUUAACCGGCACAUCGAUUGAGGGGUAAUUUAUUAAGGGUACCAAGUGAUUUGCAUGGUUACUUCACACCUUGUUUUGUGAUCCUCGGCAUCCCAGUCACAAAACCUGAAGGGCACACUCGAGAUUGAAACAUGCCUUUGAAAAGUUCAAUGAAUCUCAAAGAUCUAGGAGUUUCAAAACCAAUUAAAACCUAAUAAUACAUUUCGUUUAUCUUGGUGGAAAUUGGUGAAU